RNAcentral lists this long non-coding RNA (47300 nucleotides) under Selaginella moellendorffii. RNAcentral's name for it is "long non-coding RNA (SMOE_LNC000329)". The record is from RNAcentral. Lineage: Eukaryota; Viridiplantae; Streptophyta; Lycopodiopsida; Selaginellales; Selaginellaceae.
AAAAACAAUGUUGAAUACGACUAAAUGCUGAUGUUUCUUUCUGUCUAUUUUUAUCCUCCCUGUAACGCGGAUUUACACACUAGGCUGCCCCAAACAAGUCACAGGAUCUCAUGUACUGAUCCUCUUGUUUCUCCAGAAAGUCUUCAAUAUUGUUAUUAUAGACACAAACUCCGGUCAUAAUUAUUAAUUAAGCAAACAAGUUAAUUGGAUGUUACAUGAAAAAGCAACACAUGCCUAAAGAUUCAUAGCACUCAAAUGAGCCACAAAAAAACUCUUCAUGGUGUGCUGCAUCAAUGAUCAUAAUAUUCUGAAUAUGCAACCCACUAACUGUCUUCCAACUGUCUGUUACCAAGCAAGGCAAUCAUGGGCUGUACGCACCUAUAGCUUUCUCAAGUUGUUGAUCAAUGCGCUCAACUGUUUCAUGGUAUAUCUCAUCCAAGAAGUCUUCACGCAAAGCCUUCAGCAAAGGCAAAGGAAACAUGGAACCGCAUUGGGCAUGUCUACCAACUACUAGGUUGAAUGCUCUGGCCUUGAUGUAAACUCCAAAUGCAUACUCCUUCUACCAUGCCCUAAGUUCUUCAGGGGUCAACACCCUUCCUGUGAUUCCUUUGAGAGCUACUGUUUCCUGCAAGAUACGACUUGUUGAACUUGUCUGAGGCCAUGUAGUAGACACUAUUAUAUCAAUUUGAUUCCCAGCUGCACAUAAACGACCCAUAGAGAUGCAGCCAAUUGUAGCUAACUCAAUCUCUCGAACCUACUGCUGCAACCGCUCUGCAUCAAGUUGGUCUUCACCCUCCAAACAUUCUAUCCAUUCCCAUGCUUUGUUGUCAUUACCACUCAGAAAGGCAAACAUGUUCAAUUUUGGCCUGCGUUCAAUACUCCCACUAACUUGAGGAGUUGAUAUUGAUCCUCCAACACUGAAGGCAUCUUCAUCCAAUUGCUGUGACCCUGAAGCUCCUUGAUUGCUGAACUGUGUCAUUCUACUAUUGCCAUGUUGUUCGAACUCUGCAAGCUUGAUGUUGUAUGUCUCAAUAUUGUUCCUUGUUAUAGACACAAACUCCUCACUGAACUCUUGUAUUGGCCUGUGACGCAAACUUAUGUCAGCAGUGCAGCAACCUGUGUCCUCCUUCUCCUUGUAGAAGCUGCAAAAAUGCCUCCUAAUCCUCGUACGUCCAAUUCCCUUCACGGGACCUUUGCAUAAGACACACCUAACCACUACCUCCCAACUAGCUUUGUCAGUGCUGAAACAUUGAGGAUCCGCCUCAGUGUUUUCCAAAUUCCUCUCCCUGAGUGCUAAAGGAUCACAAAAGACGUAUUUGCAAACGGUUUAGGGCCGAAGGCCUACCAAGUCUGCCUCUGGGACUCGGAGGAUGAUGAGGGUUGGUCUUUUGCCCUUGGAUCCCUCUCUAUUCUCCCUUGCAGCCUCGCCCUAUUCUCGCAGCAGCACUAUCCUCAACACUUGGCCAAGGGUUUACCCCGUAGAACACAGCAACUUGAUCAUUUACAGCCAAAGCAAGCCCCUCUCCGAUCACGGUGUCUCCUGAGGCUACACCCAAACCAAGCCCCUCACCUAUCACGGCUUCUCCCGAGUCUGCUCCUGCAAAUGGAUUGAUGGAGGCUCUUACCUUGUUCACCCUCCCACAGCGUAGUUGCAGCCACGCUGUGUUGCUGUAGUAUUUCGCCCUUGCCACCCUGACAUCGAAACAAAAAAGGAGAGGAUGGGAGAGAAAUGGUGCUACUGGCCCUAAGGCUAAACCUUUUGUGUUUCUUCUCACCCAAGCUAAAGGAAUUUAAAGAACCCGCAAGUUACUUGAAUGAAAACCCUUGAUCCAUGUAUGUCAGUAAUAGCCAUGACAACUUGAAUAUGCAUCGAAUCAUUAUUGAAUCUUUUCUUUAGUGGGGUUAAAGGUUCAAGGGUUAUGCUUAAUUAAACGGUCAUAAUUAUUCAAAAUGCCAAAAAGUAGCUUUGAAUAAAACUCUACCAAAACCCAUUUCUACACCAUGGCAAUCGCAUUUGCAAGGGAGAACACUAGAGUAAAUAUUAAAACCAUGGGCUUUUGCUAUUGUGUGGCAAGAGGAGCAGUAGGAGCAGCAGCAGCAGCAGUAGCAGUAGUAGGAGCAGUAGGAGGUGUAGCCUGCUCCUUUAGUUGUGGCUGCGGGAUUUGGGCCGUUGGCAACUGGAUGGGGCCUGCUGCCCAUUGACUAACCCUUUCUUAGAUAACUCGGAUGAAAAUAACCAAGUGCAACUGUCUGGAGAAUAGCCAAUGGCACCAAUACCCAUUGCGAGAAGAUCGUCCUAACGCGGUCAACAAGUCCCAAGAUCCAUGGCCAGAGAACCUUACCAAUCCAUGGUGAGAAUGCCUGUGCCAGGGAGGAGGCAAGAGUGAAACCUAAGGCUCCGACACUGAGCCAAAACCACCGAGACUCCGUGAUCUUGUUAUUGCUCAACCUGCCAAGAUCGAUGCUGCCUCCUCUCGCUUUAUGGCCAAAGAUAUCGAUAACUGCCGCCUCUUGUUGAGAGAUAGAAAUCAGGAAUGAAUCUAGCAAGAAGGAAGUAAAGAAGAGCAACAACAAUGCUGCCACCCUCAUCCUUAGGGAUUCCACAAACAAGCUCUUUUUAAGAUAAUGGAAAAACUAAACCAACAAAAGCAUGCCCGUCUCUUUUAUGUGUGUUUUGUCUCUAUGGUCUCUUUUUUCCUUCUCUCGCAACAUUAUGCUCUCAAUCUCUCGAUCAUGAUGAUUACUCUCUCCUUACCAUGGUCCCACUCAUAGUCUCUCUUUUUCCUUAUCUCGAUGAGAUUGGGAAGCUCUAGUGCUCAGCAAUGGUUUCGAAAACUGCAGCAAAAAUCCCAGCAAUAGUUAGCAAAAACUGCAAUUAAAAUACUGCAAAAAUGCCGUAGCUUUUUUAGCUAAGCGCUCUUUGUGGUUCUCUUUUACUUUACUCCUAGUUCCUCCAAUGCCAAGGAAAUCCAAUCCUCAAAAAGUGCCACAGUUUUGAAGGUUUCAUUGUGAACUUUUCUUUGCUACAUAUGUGAAGGAUAACUUACUGUGAAGGAAAGGAAAAAGCAAUAGCUGCAUCAAGAGCUGGUUUCACAGCAGCUCAAGACUUUGCUUGUUCUUCGGUGGAGUGAAGGUUUCUGUAACUUUGAUUGAUGUGCAUCAUAAGAAAAAACCAGUGUUUUAUUUCGGCUGCCAAAAAGCCAUUUAAAAUGGCUUUUUGGCAUAGAAAAUGUUAAGCUUUUAUACAAAUUAGUGUCAUCUGAAAAGUCUAUCGCCGACAGCAGCUAGGCCAACAAUUUCCUUAAGCAGCCUAAAAAUUUUAAAACGGCACGUGCGUGCCAACUUGAUUAUGAAUCAACAAUGUUAAUGUUAGGCAAUUCAUGAAAAAUUUCAAGUGAUGCUAGUUGUUGCUCUAAACUGCUAGUACUGGGCUGGUCCAAAUCAGUUAACAAACGGAUUUUCCUUUUUUUGACUACAGUGGCACUCAAAUCUCCCUCAUUUAGAUGUUUGCGCUUGAAAGGAGGAGGCAUGGGAGAUGCAGGUAAGAUCUCCACACCAAUUAUCUGGUCCAUGUCGUCCCUAGGACCACUAAUCUCACUGUCAUUGCAUAGUAUUGCAUACUAUCAACCUGGAUAGAAGUAAACAAAGAAGCUUACCUCCCAUGAGCUAACCUAAGACCAGAAUCCUAGUUGAAGUCAUCAUCUUCAUCUUCAGGCAUGGAAUCAUCAGUGUAAACUUUCGCAUAGGACCUGAAACCUAUGGUUGUGUGGCAUGUGCCAUUGUCUCCUACAACUAGAGAGUCGUUCUCUUUUGGAAUAUCAAAUGCACCCAAACUAGGCCCCUCUUCGAUCACGGCUUCUUUUGAGUCUGCUCCUACAAAUGGAUUGAUGGAGACUCCUACCUUGUUUGCCCUCCCAUAGCCGCAGCUGCGGCCAUGUUGUGCUACUGCAGUAUAUCGCCCUUGCUGCCCUGACAUUGAAACAAAAAGGAGAGAGUGAGAGGACAGGAGAGAAAUGGUGCUACUAGCCCUAAGGCUAAACCUUUUGUGUUGCUUCUCACCUAAGCUGAAGGAAUUCAAACAACUUGCAAGUUGCUUGAAUGAAAACCCUUGAUCCAUGUAUGUCAGUAAUAGCCCUGACAACCUGAAUAUGCGUUGAAUCGCCGUUGAAUCUUUUCUCUAGUGGGGUUAAAGGUUCAAGGGUUAUGCUUAAUUAAACGGUCAUAAUUAUUCAAAAUGCCAAAAAGUAGUUUUGAAUAAACCUUGCCAACACCCAUUUCUACACCAUGGCAAUCACAUUCACAAGGGAGAACACUAGAGUAGAUAGCAAAACCAUGGGCUUUUGUUAUUGCGUGGCAAGAGCAGUAGUAGGAGGCGCAGCUUGCUCCUCCAAUUGUGGCUGCGAGAUCUGGGCCGUCGGCAGUUGGAUGGGGCCUGCUGCCCAUUGACUAACCCUUUCUUAGAUAACUCGGAUGAAAGUAACCAAGUGUAGCAAUUCAGAGAAUAGCCAAUGGCACCAAUACCCAUUGCGAGAAGAUCGUCCCAACACAGUCAACGAGUCCCAAGAUCCAUGGCCAGAGAACCUUACUAAUUCAUGGCGAGAAUGCCUGUGCUAGGGAGGAGGCAAGAGUGAAACCUAAGGCUUCGACACUAAGCCAAAACCACCGAGACUCUGUGAUCUUGUCAUUGCUCAACCUGCCGAGAUCGAGAUCGUGUGCCACCUCCUCUCACUUCAUGGCCAAAGACAUCGAUAACUGCCGCCUGCUGUUGAGAGAUGGAAAUUAGAAAUGAAUCUAGCAGGAAGGAAGCAAAGAAGAGCAACAACAAUGCUGCCACCCUCAUCCUUAGGGAUUCCACAAACAAGCUCUUUUUAAGACAAUAGAAGAACUAAACCAACAAAAGCAUGCCCGUCUCUUUUAUGUGUGUUUUGUCUCUAUGGUCUCUUUUUUCCUUCUCUUGCAACAUCAUGCUCUCAAUCUCUCGAUCAUAACGAUCAUUCUCUCCUUAUCAUGGCCCUGCUUAUGGUCUUUCUUUUUCCUUAUCUGGACGAGAUUGGAAAGCUCCAAUGCUCAGCAAUAGUUAGCAAAAACUGCAAUGGAAAUACUGGAAAAAUGCUGUAGCUUUUCUAGUUGAGUGCUCUUUGUGGUUCUCUUUUACUUUACUCCUAGUUCCUCCAAUGUAACUUUGAUUGAUGUGUGUCACAAGAAAAACCAGUGUUUUAUUUCGGCUGCCAAAAAGCCAUUUAAAAUGGCUUUUUGGCAUAGAAAAUGUUAAGCUUUUAUACAAAUUAGUAUCAUUUGAAAAGUCUAUCAUCGACAGCAACUAGGCUAACAAUUUCCUUAAGCAGCCUAAAAAUUAAAAAACGGCACAUGAGUGCCAACUUGAUUAUGAAUCAACAAUGUUAAUAUUAGGCAAUUCAUGAAAAAUUUCAAGUGAUGCCAAUUGUUGCUCUAAACUGCUAGUACUGGGCUGGUCCAAAUCAGUUAACAAAUGGAUUUUCCUUUUUCUGACUACAAUGGCACUCAAAUCUCCCACAUUUAGAUGUUUGCGCUUGAAAGGAGGAGGCAUGGGAGAUGUAAGUAAGGUCUCCACACCAAUUAUCUGGUCCAUGUCGUCCCUAGAGCCACUAAUCUCACUGUCAUUGCAUAGUAUUGCAUACUAUCAACCUGGAUAGAAGUAAACAAAGAAGCUUACCUCCCAUGAGCUUAACCUAAGACCAGAAUCCUGGUUGAAGUCAUCAUCUUCGACUUCAGGCAUGGAAUCAUCAGUGUAAACUUUCGCAUAGGACCUGAAACCUAUGGUUGUGUGGCCUGUGCCAUUGCCUCCUACAACUAGAGAGUCGUUCUCUUUUGGAAUAUCAAAUUCUCCUCUAGUCCACGUUGCAGAGCUGCAAGAAGUUUUAGAUUCCUUCCUAUCCCAAAUUUGAUGGUUUUGGUAAAUAUGAACGAGCUUCUUAGCCUGCUCUGGAUGCAGUCUACAUAUAGGCAAGUGACAUCAAUGUCAAACAAGUUCUUCAUGUUUAUAAAUGAACAAAGGGCUUACUUGUUCUGCUUUAGUGUCAAGACAUUGCUGUAUGUACUAAAAUUCCACUCAGCUGCAAAAUUCAAAGUUGUCAAACCAAGAAUAUAGCAUGCAAACCUCCAAAGCACUUCCCCUGAGUCACAGCUGAAGUUGACCGUAGAGGCCCAAACAUGCCAAGGUGAAUCUCCAUCUUUGCCUUUCUCAAGCAAUUCUUGUGCAUCACGGCUGUUUGCAAUGGAAAAGGGGGUAGUUCCAUCGACAUAUGCAAAGUACUCUUGAUUUAGAUUGUGGGCAUCUUUAACAUUUGGAUAGAAGCGAUGUUGAACACGACUAAAUGCUGAUGUUUCUUUCUGUCUAUUCCUAUCCUCCCUAUAACACGGAUUUACACACUAGGCUGCCCCAAACAAGUCACAGGAUCUCAUGUACUAAUCCUCCUGUUUCUCCAAAAAGUCUUCAAUAUUGUUCCUUGUUAUAAACACAAACUCCUCACUGAUCUCUUGUAUUGGCCUACGACACAAACUUAUGUCAGCAGUGUAGCAACCUAUGUCCUCCUCCUUGUAGAAGCUGCAAAGAUGCCUCCUAAUCCCCAUAGGUCCAUUUCCCUUCACAGGAGCUUUGCAUAAGACACAUCUAACCACUGCCUCCCAAUUAGCUUUGUUGGUGCUGAAACAUUGAGGAUCCAUCUCGGUGUUUUCCAAGUUCCUCUCCCUAAGUGCUAAAGGAUCACAGAAGACAUAUUUCCAAACUAUAUCCGGAGGCCUACCAAGUCUGCCUCUGGCACUUGGAGGAUGAUGAGGGUUGGUCUCUUGCCCCUGGAUCCCUCUCUGGUCUCCCUUACAACCUCGCCUUGUUCUCACAGUAGCACUAUCCUCAACACCUGGCCAAGGGUUUACCCCAUAGAACACAACAACUUGAUCAUCUACAGCCAAAGCAAGCCCCUCUCCGAUGACGGCGUCUCCUAAGGCUACACCCAAACUAGGCCCCUCACCUAUCAUGGCUUCUCCCGAGUCUGCUCCUGCAGAUGGAUUGAUGGAGGCUCCUACCUUGUUCACCCUCCCACGGCACAACUGCAGCCACACUGUGCUGCUAUAGUAUUUCACCUUUGCCGCCUUGACAUUGAAACAAAAAAGGAGAGGACAGGAGAGAAAUGGUGCUACUAGCCCUAAGGCUAAACCUUUUGUGUUGCUUCUCACCCAAGCUGAAGGAAUUCAAAGAACUCGCAAGUUUCUUGAAUGAAAACCCUUGAUCCAUGUACGUCACUAAUAGCUCUGACAACCUGAAUAUGCGUCAAAUCGCCGUUGAAUCUUUUUCUUUAGUGGGGUUAAAGGUUCAAGGGUUAUGCUUAAUUAAAUGGUCAUAAUUAUUCAAAAUGCCAAAAAGUAGUUUUGAAUAAAACUCUGCCAAGACCCAUUUCUACACCAUGGCAAUCGCGUUUACAAAGGAGAACACUAAAGUAGAUAGCAAAACCAUGGGCUUCUGCUACUUUGUGGCAGGAGGAGCAACAAGAGGUGCAGCCUGCUCCUCUAGCUGCGGCUGCGGGAUUUGGGCCGUCGGUAGCUAAAUGGGGCCUGUUGCCCAUCGACUAACCCUUUCCUAAAUAACUCAGAUGAAAGUAACCAAGUGCAAUUGUUCAGAGAAUAGCUAAUGGCACCAAUACCCAUUGCGAGAAGAUCGUCCUAAUGUAGUCUCAUGGCCCCGCUCACAGUCUCUCUUUUUUAUGGUGUCUCCUGAGGCUGCACCCAAACUAGGCCCCUCUUCGAUCACGGCUUCUUCUGAGUCUGCUCCUACAAAUGGAUUGAUGGAGGCUCCUACCUUGUUUGCCCUCCCAUAGCCGCAGCUGCGGCCAUGCUGUGCUACUGCAGUAUAUCGCCCUUGCUGCCCUGACAUUGAAACAAAAAGGAGAGAGUGAGAGGACAGGAGAGAAAUGGUGCUACUAGCCCUAAGGCUAAACCUUUUGUGUUGCUUCUCACCUAAGCUGAAGGAAUUCAAACAACUUGCAAGUUGCUUGAAUGAAAACCCUUGAUCCAUGUAUGUUAGUAAUAGCCCUGACAACCUGAAUAUGCGUUGAAUCGCCGUUGAAUCUUUUCUCUAGUGGGGUUAAAGGUUCAAGGGUUAUGCUUAAUUAAACGGUCAUAAUUAUUCAAAAUGCCAAAAAGUAGUUUUGAAUAAACCUUGCCAACACCCAUUUCUACACCAUGGCAAUCACAUUCACAAGGGAGAACACUAGAGUAGAUAGCAAAACCAUGGGCUUUUGUUAUUGCGUGGCAAGAGCAGUAGUAGGAGGCGCAGCCUGCUCCUCCAAUUGUGGCUGCGAGAUCUGGGCUGUCGGCAGUUGGAUGGGGCCUGCUGCCCAUUGACUAACCCUUUCUUAGAUAACUCGGAUGAAAGUAACCAAGUGCAGCAAUUCGGAGAAUAGCCAAUGGCACCAAUACCCAUUGCGAGAAGAUCGUCCCAACACGGUCAACGAGUCCCAAGAUCCAUGGCCAGAGAACCUUACCAAUCCAUGGCGAGAAUGCCUAUGCUAGGGAGGAGGCAAGAGUGAAACCUAAGGCUUCGACACUGAGCCAAAACCACCGAGACUCUGUGAUCUUGUCAUUGCUCAACCUGCUGAGAUCGAGAUUGUGUGCCGCCUCCUCUCACUUCAUGGCCAAAGACAUCGAUAACUGCCGCCUGCUGUUGAGAGAUGGAAAUCAGAAAUGAAUCCAGCAGGAAGGAAGCAAAGAAGAGCAACAAUAAUGCUGCCACCCUCAUCCUUAGGGAUUCCACAAACAAGCUCUUUUUAAGAUAAUGGAAGAACUAAACCAACAAAAGCAUGCCCGUCUCUUUUAUGUGUGUUUUGUCUCUAUGGUCUCUUUUUUCCUUCUCUCGCAACAUCAUGCUCUCAAUCUCUCAAUCAUGAUGAUCACUCUCUUUUUAUCAUGGCCUUGCUUACGGUCUUUCUUUUUCCUUAUCUGGACGAGAUUGGAAAGCUCCAGUGCUUAGCAAUGGUUUCGAAAACUGCAGUGAAAAUCCCAGCAAUGGUUAGCAAAAACUGCAGUGGAAAUACUGCAAAAAUGCCAUAGCUUUUCUAGCUAAACGCUCUUUGUGGUUCUCUUUUACUUUACUCCUAGUUCCUCCAAUGCCAAGGAAAUCCAAUCUCAAAAAGUGCCACAAAUUUGAAGGUUUCAUUGUGAACUUUUCUUUGCUACGUAUGUGAAGGAUAACUUACUGUGAAGGAACGGAAAGAGCAGUAACUGCAUCAAGACCUGGUUUCACAAUAGCUCAAGACUUUGCUUGUUCUUCGGUGGAGUGAAGGUUUCUAUAACUUUGAUUGAUGUGCGUCACAAGAAAAACCAGUGUUUUAUUUCGGCUGCGAAAAAGCCAUUUGAAAUGGCUUUUUGGCAGAGAAAAUGUUAAGCUUUUAUACAAAUUAGUGUCAUCUGAAAAGUCUAUCGCCGACAGCAGCCGAGCCAACAAUUUCCUUAAGCAGCCUAAAAAUUAAAAAACGGCACAUGCGUGCCAACUUGAUUAUGAAUCAACAAUGUUAAUGUUAGGCAAUUCAUGAAAAAUUUCAAGUGAUGCCAAUUGUUGCUCUAAACUGCUAGUACUGGGCUGGUCCAAAUCAGUUAACAAACGGAUUUUCCUUUUUCUGACUACAAUGGCACUCAAAUCUCCCUCAUUUAGAUGUUUGCGCUUGAAAGGAGGAGGCAUGGGAGAUGCAAGUAAGGUCUCCACACCAAUUAUCUGGUCCAUGUCGUCCCUAGGGCCACUAAUCUCAUUGUCAUUGCAUAGUAUUGCAUGCUAUCAACCUGGAUAGAAGUAAAUAAAGAAGCUUACUUCCCAUGAGCUAACCUAAGACCAGAAUCCCGGUUGAAGUCAUCAUCUUCGUCUUCAAGCAUGGAAUCAUCAAUGUCAACUUCUGCAUAGGACUUGAAACCUAUGGUUGUGUGGCCUGUGCCAUUGCCUCCUACAACUAGAGAGUCGUUCUCUUUUGGAAUAUCAAAUUCUCCUCUAGUCCACGUUGCAGAGUUGCAAGAAGUUUUAGAUUCCUUCCUAUCCCAAAUUCGAUGGUUUUGUUAAAUAUGAACGAGCUUCUCAACCCGCUCUGGAUGCAGUCUACAUAUAGGCAAGUGACACCAAUGUCAAACAAGUUCUUCAUGUUUAUAAAUGAACAAAGGGCUUACUUGUUCUGCUUUAGUGUCAAGAUGUUGCUGUAUGUACUAAAAUUUUACUCAGCUGCAGAAUUCAAAGUUGUUAAACCAAUAUAGCACGUAAACCUCCAAAGCACUUCCCUUGACUCAUAGCUGAAACUGACCGCAGAGGCCCAAACAUGCCAAGGUGAAUCUCCAUCCUUGCCUUUCUCAAGCAAUUCUUGUGCAUCACAGCUGUUUGCAAUGGAAAAGGGGCUAGUUCCAUUGACAUAUGCAAAGUAUUCCUGAUUUAGCUUGUGGGCAUCUUCAACAUUUGGAUAGAAAUGAUGUCGAACACGAUUGAAUGCUGCUAUUGCUUCCUAUCUAUUCCUAUCCUCCCUCUAACGCAGAUUUAUACACCAAGCUGCCCCAAACAAGUCAUAGGAUCUCAUGUACUGAUCCUCCCAUUUCUAUAGAAAGUCUUCAAGCUGUUGUUUGUCCUCUGCAUUGAAACCUGUAACUGUUGCUAUCUUGAACUUAAAAAAAUGCCAUGCUUGCCACACAAAGCCAAUGUUUGAAACUGAGCGAUCAAAGAACUUGAUUGCCAUCACCACCACCUCUAUCAACUGCAUCACCUUCUCAACACCCGCCCAGAAAUUAAAAUCCUCCACUGCUGUCAUGGCUUGGUUAGUAGUCUUUGUUGUUGUUGCAAGUUGGCUUCGUAGCCAAUCUUUAAAUCUAGUAUUCCUAAACAACCUCUGCAAUGCUCCACACUCUUCCCAUAAUCACCUGGGCAUGUAAUAAUAGUUUCCAAACUUGUGAAAGAAACAAAAAAAGUGUUAAAGUCAGUAACAGACAAUUACACAACUCUAAUACUCACCGAGUAAUGACAGGUCUGACGAAUUGCCACUUAGGAUGCUGAACUUGAUAAAAAGCAUGCACACGAGUGGAGUUCUUCACAAAUUGAACUAUACACUUCCCUAUGUCUAGAUAUUGUUUGAUGUUGUCCAAACCUGCCCAAGACAUUAGUACAAGGUUCAGAGCAUGACACUAACAUGGAACACUCCACAUAUCUUCAAACUCAGUUUUGAAUUUGCAUCCAACAAGCCACAUGUUGGCCGCAUUGUCCGUUACUAUUGAUGAUAAUCCACACUUCCUCUCUAUACGCCGCAUUUGAUCAUGUAAUAUGUUCCACUACCAGGGAUGUUGCUUUUGGCUACAUUUGCGUCAUCAGCAAGUACCCGAGUAUUUAUAGCCAAAACCACACUCUUCAAUUUGCUAUACAAGAUAUCAACUGCAUUGUAAAGCAAACAAGUUAAUUGGACGUUACAUGAAAAAACAACACAUACCUAAAGAUUCAUAGCACUCAAAUGAGCCACAAAAAAACUCUUCAUGGUGUGCUGCAUCAACGAUCAUAAUAUUCUAAAUAUGCAACCCACUAACUGUCUUCCAACUGUCCAUUACUAAGCAAGGCAGUCGUGGGCUGUACGCACCUGUAGCUUUCUCAAGUUGUUGAUCAAUGCGCUCAACCGUUUCAUGGUAUAUCUCAUCCAAGAAGUCUUCACGCAAAGCCUUCAGCAAAGGCAAAGGAAACAUGGAACCGCAUUGGGCAUGUCUACCAACUACUAGGUUGAACGCUCUGGCCUUGAUAUAAACUCCCAAUGCAUACUCCUUCUACCAUGCCCUAAGUUCUUCAAGGGUCAACACCCUUCCUGUGAUUCCUUUGAGAGCUAUUGUUUCCUGCAAGAUACAAUUUGUUGAACUUGUCUAAGGCGAUGUAGUAGACACUAUUAUAUCGAUCUGAUUCCUAGCUGCACGUAAACCACCCACAGAGAUGCAGCCAAUUGUAGCUAACUCAGUCUCUCGAACCUGCUGCCACAACUGCUCUGCAUCAACCUAGUCUUCACCCUCCAAACAUUCUAUCCAUUCCCAUGCUUUGUUGUCGUUAUCGCUCGGAAAGGCAAACAUGUUCAAUUUUGGCCUGUGUUCAAUACUCCCACUAGCUUGAGGAGUUGAUGUCGAUCCUCCAACAUUGUAGGCAUCUUCAUCCAAUUGCUGUGACCCUGAAACUCCUUGAUUGCUGAACCAUGUCAUUCUACCACUGCCAUGUUGUUUAAACUCCACAAGCUUGAUGUUGUACGUCUCAAUAUUGUUCCUUGUUAUAGACACAAACUCCUCACUGAACUCUUGUAUUGGCCUGCAAUGCAAACUUAUGUCAGCAAUGUAGUAACCUAUGUCCUCCUUCUCCUUGUAGAAGAUACAAAGAUGCCUCUUGAUCCCCAUAGGUCCAAUUCCCUUCACGGGACCUUUGCAUAAGACACACCUAACCACUGCCUCCCAACUAGCUUUGUCGGUGUUGAAACGUCAAGGAUCUGCCUCGGUGUUUUCCAAGUUCCUCUCCCUGAGUGCUAAAGAGUCGUAGAAGAUGUAUUUCCAGACCAUAUCCGGAGGCCUACUAAGUCUACGUUUGGGACUCGGAGGAUGAUGAGGGUCUCCUGCCCUUGGAUCCCUCUUUGCAGCCUCGCACUAUUCUCACAGCAGCACUAUCCUCAACACCUAGUCGAGGGUUUACCCCGUUGAACACGGCAACUUGAUCUCCUGCAGUUGAAGUAGGCCCCUCUCUGAUCACGGCAUCUCCUAAGGCUGCACCCAAACCAGGCCCCUCUCCGAUCAUAGCUUCUCCCGAGUCUGCUCCUGCAUAUGGAUUGAUGGAGGCUCCUACCUUGUUUGCCCUCCCACUGCCGCAGCCACGGCCACACUGUGCUGCUAUAGUAUAUCACCCUUGCCACCCUGACAUCAAAACAAAAAAGAGAGAGUGAGAGGACGGGAGAGAAAUGGUGUUAUUAACCCUAAGGCUAAACCUUUUGUGUUGCUUCUCACCCAAGCUAAAGGAAUUCAAAAAACCCACAAGUUGCUUGAAUGGAAACCUUUGAUCCAUGUAUGUCAAUAAUAACCCUAACAACCUGAAUAUGCAUCAAAUUGUUGUCGAAUCUUUUUUCCAGUGGGGUUAGGGUUAUACUUAAUUAAACAGUCAUAAUUAUUCAAAAUGCUAAAAAGUAGCUUUGAAUAAAACCCUGAGAAAAACAUUCUUGCUAAAAGAACCAAGCACCAGAAAAGAAAAAGCAAAAACAAGCAGCAACAUACCGUCCAAAAAGUGCUUGCACGCCUUCUAGGACCUCUACACUACACCAUAGUGACGUUCGCAAGAUCUCUAUGUAGUAACAUGUGAGUGCAACCGAAUGACAAAAAAAUUAACAGCAGCAUCACUAUUCAAUUACCAGCAAUAUACUUUGUGCUGUGCAAAGCAAAAGAGCAAGCUAGCUCAGCUCGGAAUCGCACAGAUUGAGAUGUUUUGAUUUCACAUGACUUCUCCCGAGAAGAGAAUUUUAACAUAUAGAGCGCCGACCAGAUCGAUAUAGACAAACAAAUACAGUACCUGUCACUGUAGCUACAAGUGUGGGUUUGAGAAGCACAAGGACCAAUGAGCUCGUCCUCAUGUUGUCUGAAUAUAAAAGUAAUGUACCUAUAAGAUGGAAGUGACAAUCCAUAAUCCGUGUUCAUCAGGAUUUAAAUCUCCGACAAUUUCAGGCCUCACCCCUUAAAGUCCUUCCGGAAGAAUCGACCGCAAAACGAGGACCAAAUGUGCGUCGAAACGGAAUAUGAGGAUGCCCGUGUGGCCUGACAGAAACACAGCUUAAGGCAGCAGCAUGAUCAAGGAGUACAUACUUGAUGUCAGAACUGUCGUCUCUCUCGGCUGGGAAGAAUCCAGUCCACGUUUCCAGCAUUUCCAUUAAGGCUGCUGUGUCAGACACCACGACGUGCACGGUGCAUCUGUCUGUUUCAACGGAAAACAAUAACGAACUGUUAGAAACAGGAAACUUACCUGUAUUUAAGUCGAUGCUGUUCCUUAGAGAGUGUCACAAAUACGAGACAAGUAAAAAGUUAGCACCAAUCCAUGAUAAAACGAGUUCAUGAUAAAAAACGAGAUGCAUACCUAGAGUACAGCUCUUGAAACAAGUGGAUAACACCACGAGCCUGUUGUGGCCAAGUGGAAGAUGAAUCGAUCACACUUGAAGGAUGUCGGCGAGAAAGCUCUAGCCAUUUUCUGAAACAAAACCUUGUUAAGAAAAACUCUUAACUCCAAAGUAGAUUUCGACUUUUUUUUAUUUUUUAUGACUGCAUGUUUUGUAGCUUUAGAGUGUAGUCCCACAGUCCUCUGUAACAAUAACAUUUGUAGCCAUGCAUGUUGUCCAUGGAAGAGUUUUACCUUCUUUUUCCUUGGCUACCAAGCUCUUGAGCCACUGAACAAUACGAAGACAUGUUUGAGCAGUCUCAUCGUUCCUUACAAACUCGGAUGCCACCUGAGCUGAUGUGGUUGCCUUCUGCCAUGAAAACUUUUUUGUAAGUGAAAGCACAAAGGAUGAAGACAUGCAUAUAAAAUACCUGAUUGUUUUCCAUACUAUCCUUAGAGACAAUGCGGGUGAAAAGAGAAAACUUCAGGCUUCCAUUCUGCCCUAAAUAAAACCCUCAACCCUAGUACUAAUAAAUGUUGAGAGUGGGAUUUGAACCUAGACCAAUCUGCCAAUUUAUUUGUAAAUUUUAAAUUGACUAAAUUGUUUAGUUUGCCUGAAAUUUCCAGCAAACACCAAGGAAACAAUACGACCCUUCCCACCUUGUACCAAGCAAAUCACCUUAGAAAAAGAAACAAGUAUUUAAAACUGUUAGAUAUGCUAGAUCAACUCAAACACUUGUCCAAUCCAUCAAAGAAAAUAAACUAGAAUGGAUACACUUGUGGACAAGUUGAGUAUCAUAUAUAUUUCAAAAUAAAUAUUUUACCUCACUAAAGCAUUGCGAGAGCUGCCGAGGAGCACAAAAAGUCAUAGCCCCAAGCAGUUGAACACUUCCAUGUUUAGUACGCCAUGCUCGGUCUUCUAGCCCCUAAAUUAAUAAUUAUACACCGUUGAGCUAAAAGAACGUAACUUCAGUUGUGUGAUACUUUCACCUUGAAUAGAGCUGGUAAGACAAGUUUAACACCUUGGCCGGUAAGUUGCGAAAUAAUUGUCCGAUCAGCCGCCUCGUAUACUGCUGAAACGGAAUCGGAGAAACACACAAGCAUCUCUGACAGGAUUCGUAUUACGCACCUGCAACAAAAAAUGUUUAACAAAAGCAAUUUCUAGUAGAAUAAAUUCUUAUGGCUCCCCAAGUUUCUCGGAUUACAUCGAACUUCUUCAAGCAAGACAAUCCCUUCCCCUUCACUACCCCGGCCAAUCCAAAGGCUGCUCCACAGUGCUCUCCAUAUUUCUCUGAUUGCACAAGUUGUUCAAGCAAACUUUUUGCAAGUUUCUCAGAAUCCACCUGACAACCAAGUUACUAGAUUAUCCAAAUUCAAAUGAAAUACCUGGUGGACUAGCAAUAAAAGAAGCUAGGAAGUUUGAGACAGCACGUUGAACUGAUUCUGAAGGAGUUUUCAGUGCUUCGAGCCAUCUUUCCAGAAUGACAACUACUUUCGGAUCAUCCUAGUUAGUUGGUAGCUACCGAAAACAAAUUCACCUGAGAGAGAAAGUCAGAGUAAAUACAAACAAAACAUUCAGAUUUGAAGCACGUACCUUUCUACUUCAAUAGUUUUCAAUAUAGGAAGGAGAACCGUUUUCCAUGUUUAUCGAGAACUGCUACGCCAGCUUCCACCAUUUUAGACCGGACGUCAGAGUUUGAAUAAGCCUGUAGGAAAUAAACGGAUACAUUUAACUUGUUUAUUCAGCAGAGCGACGUACCAAGGCUCGAGAAAAAGAAAAGUUGAUAAAACUGGUAAGCCUUUGGCAGUAAGUAUGUCUGCAGCUGCUUCGAGGGCUAACGAUACACUUGUCUUCCAGACCAACCAGGAUCAACAUGAUUGCCUCCACUCGAAUAGAGGGUAAACAAAGCCGAUAGUGUUUCCUGAGAGCAACGUAAGCACGAGAAUAAAUAAAUACAGAAAACCUUACUUGAAUGCUGCUUGGAUACUCGUCCAUGGCAAGACACGAAGUAGGCCGUCAGGAACAGGACUUGCUCAACAAUCUGUCAAGAAUACAGUUUAGAUUAGAAACAAACUCAGAGAACUCAUACCGAUACCGGAAAAACUACAGUCCAAGCUUACAAUCCCCGUGGUGAUCACCGUGUGAAUAACGCCUUUCUCGUUAUCCAAAUAAACUUGUAGAGAAAACAACGACACCAAGAUUUUCGUUAGGUGUCUGGGAACUGCAGUCACCAAUCCCGUUAAUACGACCAUCGUCCGGAACGCUUCAUCACUCACAAUUGGCGACUUCAGAAGUGGGAGGACAAGCGGGAUCUGGUCAUUCCUCAAAUAUGAGUGAAAACUACACAGUAAUGAACAUAACUUACCAAAGCAGGAUCCGCAAUAGCUGCAAUUGCUCUUAUAACCACAGUGAACCGCGUCUUUAAGUGGCAUGGACAAUAGCCUCUUCUUUCAAAACCAAAUCUCUUGCUUCUUCUUUCAUUGGUUUUGAUUCACCUGAAAAACAAGAAAUUAUAAAAUGAGCAAAUAUUGAGAAAACAUUAAAAGCAGCAGUCUUUCUAGAAGCUUUACUCGCGUCUCUAGGCGCAGACGCCGUGAAACAGACUUCGACAUUGUGUCCUACAGCAAGUUUCAUUAGCCACCAGAAUGACAAAACAAUCUGCUAACCUCUUCACUUCCGGAGUCACUGCCAUUUUAAAUCGUCAUUUUGCCUGCUACACACCACCAGAAGGAGUGUUGAAUAUCUGCCAAGAAAGGCUCAGUCUUAAGCUACUUCGUGCGUAUAAUCCACCUUGUCAUUGAGACCAUUGUGAGAGCUCCAAUCAGCUAGAUCACUUACGCCCUGCAAGGAAAUAAGUAUGUAAUUCAUAUGAAAAGAAGACAGCACCUACAUGAAUCAAAUGAUUGAGCAUUUCAUCAGGAAUAAAAUGCGUGACUAAACCAGAAGCAAAGAUCGCUGCUUUUGAGAUAGCCGGCUGUUCACUGGUCAAUCCGUUCGCACCGGCUAGAACCUGAGCAAGUGUAUGUGUGGCUAAUCAGUAGAAGUCAAAUAAUAACCUUCCGACAGCGCCGGGAUCAGAUCUUAGGACGGCGCGAAUAAAAUACUUAAGCGUCUUGCAAAGUCCUGGCAAAGGAGUCAUAUGCAUAAACCACAGAAAGAAAGGUUUCUUACCUUCCAAUACGAAGUACUUUUUUUACCACACAAGAUCCAGUCAUGGUGAAAAACUAUUAGAAAAUGCGUAGAAUACAAGGGAUCCGGCACUAGUGAUGCACAUCCUGCUUUAGAAAGCAUCUGAUGGUGGAACCUCUGAAGGCGAACUGUCACUCUCGCUUCCACUGCACAUCUGUAUUAGAAAAUGGAAGCUUGAAGAGUAUAGCAGUAAAUUUUACCUCAUUUGCGAAUUGAAGAUCAUGUAAAGUGGGAAGCCAAUUCAGAAAGGACUUGAAAAGCUCCUCCGCAUACGCUACUGCAGCUCUCCUUACAUGCCAUGACUGGUUCCAAAAGAAAGCUUAAAAGGCUCUGCAGCAAGAAAAUCAUUCGUCAUUGUUAGCAAAUGAUUUAUUCCAUCACUUUGGAAAGUUCUGUUAGCCCCUCGUUGGCUCCUCUGCAGCCAAGGAAAAUUUUAUGCAAACGUUUAGAUUUGGCUGGUAAUUCGAUAGAUCUUCAAGCAGUUCUAUCGACGCACCAGUCUUCCAUUUGCAUUUCAGGUUCUGUUCAUCCGUUGUUAGAUCAGACCAAACUGAAGGAAUGAAAAACAUAUACAACUGUCGGGGAAAACGUAGACUCCGAAAUCGUUACUGACGAAAUAAUCAUUUCCUUGAUCAUCUUGCAUCUAUAACAGUACAAAGAAAAACGAGUAUAAACGCAAAAUGUUGUUUGAAUUCUCACCAGCUCUGCUAUCGAUGGAUGCAAUCUUGAGUAGCAAAAGAAGAGCAUAAAUCCUUUGUUAUACCACUUUUCGAUAGUUGGACCAAUUGAUCAACUAGCGGGAUCGCCUGCAAAAAGAAACAAAAAUCGUUUCAGAACAGAACGCACGACUUAAAAAGCACCAAACCCACAGGAAGUGAAAGUUCUUCAUCGAAAAAUGCCUGGCGAAGACAUCGUAAGUGUGCUCACCUCAUAUUCAAGCCCAGCCAAAAAGAAACUUGAGCACUCAGCUGGCAAGUUACGCUCGGCUUUUCUAAGUGACGAACCCAGAGAUAAUAGAAUUGCCACUCGGACUUCCUCGUUUCCUGUCUGUCGCAUACUGUGUAAGAAGCAAAAAUAUCGAAGCCAGCACCAAAACUCACCGUCGUCUUUGUACAGUGAAUAAGCAAUGAGCUGAUAACACCUGCAACAAGCGUCACAAAUGGCGCGUAAAGCAUUGAUCAAUCCCAGCCUCUGGUAGACGAACGUCAGUUUACCCUCAGAUCCUGGCACAAGACCACGUUAAGUUGCGAGCUAGAAAUGCUUUUAAACAUCUAACCUCCUGUUAACAGGGACUCUGUGCCGUUUCUGAGAAUUUGCAGCGCUUCCCCUUCGUCGCUAUGUCGAGAUUGAAGCAAAACAACGGGUAGAACCUCGCCCGUAUAUCUGGUCAGGUCCGCUUCAAAAGAACUCCAAAAAGAGGUCGGGGCUUCUCUUGAGCAUCCUUACAGCAGCCGGGACCGAGUUUGGAAAGAAGCUCAAACGCUUCGCUGAUCGCCUGGGAAGGCUUCUCUCGCGAUCCAAGUACCAACUUUUCACGUAAAGGUCGACAAAAAACGCCUGAAAAGAGAACCCAUUUCGUUACCAAGAGCUCCACUAUAAACUUCCCACCUUCUUGGCCGAAAGUCGAGCUGGAUCCCUUGUAGUUGUAGCGAGGAUUUUCAGAGGCACCGAAAUUCCGACGACAACGUCUCAAGCUCGGAGACGUAGUUUUCGUACAAGCCAUUCACCCUGCAUUGAGUCUUUUAAAUCCCAGAUGGAAAGAAAAGAAAAUCCGCUACCUGGAUCAGCGAGCGAAGUAGCAAGGCCUUGGCAGCCAGUCUCAGCCAAGAGGAGGGAGGACUGGACCGCAGCGAUCCUGGAGAAGAAGGUGGGGCAUGCGCAACCAGCAAGUUUUCCCGGUGAGGCACCACCACUUCCCUUGUGGACACUACCGCCGGGACGAAACUCACAAGAAAGCGCAGGAGCUUGAGCUGCGUGGAGGCGGGACACACACUCGCGUUCCUCUCGGAGGCAAGAAUGAGCCGACCUGGAUGUGUGGAGUGACGCGCACGACGGCUUGGACAAGAGAGAUGUAGCGUCGCGAGACAAUCCACCGCGCGCUCGUCUGAAAGGGGCGUUAGCAUUGUCGAAAUCGCAAGAAAUCCACCUGGCGAUGAAAUGCUCCCGCGGAAGAUGGUCUGACUAAACCCUAAAUCUCAGAAAACCAAAAAAACAAAAAAAAAAAAAAAAAACCAUACAGUUUUAAUGCCUAGACCCUGAUAGCGAUUGCCUUGAGCUUGCAGGCUUUUAUAACUCCUCGAUGCUUUGCAGUGCGUGUUCCAGCUCCGAGAAGGUGCUACCAUGAUCCAGAAAACGAAAGGAAUGUAAGAAAGAAAAACCUUCGCUAGAUGCCCGGAUUUGCAUGCUUCUUUCUAUUUGAUAGAUUGCGGUAGCUCCUCCUCAUUAUCCGCAAGAAAAACAGUCACCAUUGUUUCAUAGAUGAAUCAACGAAAAUAAAAAAAGAACCUGCAGCCUUUGCGUCUCGACACCGCUUUCGACACGAGCAGCUCUUUGUUCGAUGGCGAUUCGGCUAAAACACGUCUGAUCUCUCCACUCUCCAUAUCGCGAUCUCGGCUUCCCUGCAAAGUUUCUUUCAACAUCAUUGCUGGCAAAGAUCCUCCAAAACUUUUUAAAACCAGUAAGGCUUUCUCGAGAGGAGGACGCAAUUUUCAUCUUCCGGAUCUUCAUUUGAGGAAGUUUAGGGAGAAAAAAAAGCCGACCCGAUACCAAUAGGGUGACCUUUUAAAUGCGCUGGUAGCAGCGUGGAAGAUCACAGGAAAACAGCAACGCCAGCGAUCGACCAGAGACCAGUGAUAGCUUCCACUCGCUCUCGAAACUCCCGAGCUCCUCGGCGCUCAUUCUCCCGGAUCGACCCAAGAUAUCGAUGCUCUCUCCUCCCACCCCUCGGCCACAAGACCGACAUGGCUGCACGAAGUUAGCGCUCCGGAACGUCACCUCGUCCUCGAGGUUCAUCAUAUGGAUGAUCGUAGUGCCCGUUUGAGCACACCAUGGUCGUCCAUGGAACCAAGCUCCGAGUACUCUUCAUGCUCUGAAACACGCGGCACGGCCGAGAUCGCCCAAGUUGACCUGCCGUCCAGCAGGCGAUGGUCUCUCGUGGAAGAAACUCACGGCCUCGUCGAAAUGCCCAUUCUCGCCAAACGCGAGUAGCAUCAAGCUCCACGAGACUAGAUUCUCCUCCGGAUUUGAUCGAAGGUGUUCUUCGCGACGAAGCCUUUGCAACAUCGCCGUCUACGCCAUCACGUCCUGAUCAACCUCUUGCGGCGGCCAGAUUGUAAGGGAGCCGGCCUUUCAGAUUCUACCUAGAAUCCACUCGGGGGUAGCACAGCAGUAGAUUCGUCCACGACACGAGAUCCUUGGCCGGCAUUCGAUCGCGAUUUGCCCCUAGUGGGCGUGUGCCGUCAUCAUCUCACGGCCUGGCGCUCUGAGACGCGAUCAAACAUCUCCUGGCAGUUGCGGAGCCCAGAUACCGCGACGUAGCCGGCGACCAUCGAGUUCCAUGACACAAGAACACGACCAUAUUAGCAUGCUCUGUACUCUGGAACAGUGUUGGAAUAUAUACCAAGCAAUAAUAAAAACAAAUGAUAUUAUGUUAAAUAGUCUUUGAUAAGAUCAGUUACAAUAUCAAACUAGAGAGCUGAUAGUUCAUAUCCUUCCAAUUUCUCCUGGUUAGCAAAUUCAUGCCAGAAAAUGGUUUGAAAAUUCUCCACACCCUGAUCAAUCCACGCAAGAUUGCUCACAGCUUGGAGUGGAAGAGUUCGAAUGUGAGAGAAGAGCAAGUGCGUCAAUCUCUUAUGCCCCAGACUUUCUUAACAUAGCGGGGCGUACAUGUGACAUAUGUUAUAUUUCCUUCUCUCGCAUGAGCCAAUUGACGCUCCAAUUGUGUCUCUCAUUUAUUGGCGAAAACAUCAAGAAAAUAUUUCGAGGUUAGGUUCUUCAUUUUUAUUAUUAUAGAUUAGAAAUUGUCUAGAAAAUGGUGGGCAGUUGACAAAGCUUACUCUUUUCCAAGUCUACUCCUCUCAACAUAAACUCUAGAUAGGGAACCCAUGCCUAAAAGAGAAAAUAUGUUUACGCACUAGCAAAAAGUCUAUAAUACCUACUUAUUGAAGCUGAAGUUCUUAGACAAUGUAUGAUUCACUCCCACUUGUCCUUGCAUUUCAGUGGCCUAUUUAUCAUUGGGAACAUCAUGUAAAUUGUUAGAGAUGCAAUAGUAGCUGUGGGAAGAUAUUACCAGAGCAGACAUGAUGGAAAGUUGACGCUAUAUUUUAAAUCAAAUGGCACCUUGCUACACCGAUAUGUUAAAGUUAGCAGGCUCAAUGUGUACCUCCAUAUCUGCAUCGGGUAAAUAAUAUAUAGUCAGGUCCUUCACAUCCACAAACACGUAAACUUACCAAACUUUGCUAUAUGGGGUAUGUAUGUAUAGUUCUUGAUCUGCAGAAAUUGAAAAAAAAUAUCACAUACCACUUUUGACAGCCAGGACUGCCACAGGCUAUUUGUUCCUACUAAUGAUCUGUAGUGCUUGCAAGCACAAAAAUUCGCACUAGGACUCCACCCAAAAUCCCCGUAUGGAAAGCACCAUUCCAUCAUGAACAUGGACGUGAAAAGAAGAUGAAGGCUAAAGAGGGAACAUUGCAUUCAUGUAAAUGCUGGCACAAAUAUGGUCCACAUUAAAGUGAACCAUGUCUAUAUUAUCCCACAGAAACAAUCUGAGGAACCUAAUAACAAUAUAUGCUAGAGCAAGAUAUAUGAUUCUAAUAAAUGAUCUAAUUAUUCAUCAAGAUUUUUAAUUUUUAGGAUAAAUUUCGAAUAAAAAAUUAAGGGAAUAUUCUACAGAGGUUCCUCCCCAGAGAGUUCCUCGAGCGACUUUCCUUUGGUCUCGGGCACCAGCAGCGAGAAGACCAGCCCCAGCGAGUUGCAAAAUCCCAGCACGAUGAGCGCGUUCCUCAAACCAAUCCCCGUGUGGUACCCCUUGUCGAUCUCGCUGCUGUGCCUGCUCUGGCUCGCGUACAGGAACCCAAACGAUCCAACAAUGGCCCCGGCCUUGCCAGCCGCCGCCGAUAUCCCAUGGCACGUCGAGCGCAGCCGCGCCGGGAACAGCUCCGCCGGGACGAUGAAGGUGGUGGCAUUCGGGCCGAAGUUGGCGAAGAAGAACGUGAACGCGUACAGGACUAUGAACGCGGUGUGAUGAUCCUUGAGGUAGUGGUAAGGCACGGCCAGUGCGAACAUAAACACCGUCAUGAAGAAGAAGCCGAUGAGCUGGAUCACGAAGCGGCCGAGCUUGUCGAUGAGGAGGACUGUCACCCAGUAUCCUGGAACCGUGGAGCACAGAGCUAUCAGCGCCUGGGCUCUCGAGAUCCUGUAAACUUCCUCUAGCGCGCUCAUCUUCUUGGCACUCUCGAGCCACCCCACGGCCGUGAACACGUCCUUCUGGAAGAGGUUCUGGCUGUAGAAGGCGAUAUCGAGGAGGAACCAAGUCGUGGUUGUCCCCAGGAGAUGGAGCCCGUGCCUUCUCACGAACUCCCUCGAGAAAAGCUUGUACGUUGGAGGCUGCGGUCGAGACUGCUGUACCUCAGCUUCCGAGCUAGUAAUAGUAGCAUCGAUCCGGACCUGUAACACCUUGCUCAUGUCUUCCGCUGCCUGGCUCACGUUGCCUUCCACCAGAGCUGUGUAGCGAGCCGUCUCCGGCAUCUUCAUCCUCCAGUAGUAAGUUAACGCCGCCGGGACUGCUCCAAGCAUGAGAAUGAUCCUCCACACGUAGUCAGCCUCAGGAGGAGUUGAAGCAACGUGAUCGACGAUGAAGGCCGGACUCGGAUAUGCGUGCCUGAAGAUGGCAGACACCAGCAGAGAAACCGCGGCACCUGCUAGAAUCCCAAAGCCUUGCAUGGCAAAGACCGCCGCAAUGAAGGCGCCUCUGGUCUUCUGGUUGGCAUACUCGGACAUGAUCGUUGCUGAUAAUGGAUAGUCUCCGCCAAUACCAAAACCCAGCCAGAACCGGAAGAAGCACAGCGUCCCAAUCACUGACUUCGCCGAGUGACCGAAUGAGAGGCCCGAGGCUAUCGCUGAGAAGAACAUUAGCAUCAGAGUGAUGCCAUAGACUUUCUUCCGUCCCAUUCGGUCCCCGAGCCAGCCGAAGAAAAGCUGGCCGGCGAAAGUUCCACAGAGAGCCACGGCAGUUACUGCGGAAGAAACAUUGGCCGGAAGAGUACCUGGUUUGCCUGUCGAGGGAUCAUAGUAGUACAGACGGCCCAGCAGCUUCGUCACUGUCGUAAUGCAGAAAAGAUCGUACGAGUCUGUGAAGAAUCCCAUCCCUGCGAUGACGAUAGUCGUGAAGUGGUACCAUUGUGUCUUGGCCUUGUCGAGAGCGGAGAGCACCUCGAUAGCCAUCUCUGCCUAAAUCCCUUCCACCUUGUACGCGCUAUACAUAUACAGCGAAAAAAAGUAAAGGAAGUCCAUACAUGGACGAAACGACCAAAUGGAGUUUCCCGAAUAUGCCUUUUUACAAACCGCGAUUAGCUUUGAAGUUGUUGGCUGUUUCAAUGAGAUCCGCGUUUGCGUGUAUCAAGUUCUCGAUAACCUGCAAAAGGAAAGAUUAGAUACAGAAAGCAAAGCUGGUACAAAAGCUUUUUACCUUCGAGUGCUGCCGUAGAUUCACCUCGAAAACAUGUUUUUCUUCACUGAUAGCCUUCAAGGACUCGACAACUUUGUCACGCUCUUUGGCAUCCUUCUCGCAUUGGUCCAUGAGUUGUGCGAUGGCCGUUGCCUGCGAGAAAUUUUAUUCUAGCCUCAAAAGUCACAUGAGCUAACUACGUACCUGACGCUCUAGAAUGCCUGAUUUUACACUGCACUCUUCCGCAAGUACUGCUUUCUCUGAAGCUAAUUGAGCCCGGUCUUUGCCAAGAGCCUGCAAGUGAUGAGCCACAUCCCUGUGGAAACGAGAUCACCUAUCAUGCCAAGUUGUGGCUUUAAAGUUCGCUUACCGGCUUUGAGUGUCGUGCUGGAAGAGGUCUUGUUGCUGUACAUGGAGACGAGUUCGUAACACAAAAUUCUCCUUCAUCAGAGCUUCCUUGCUGGCCACCUAAUGCAACGAGAGAAAAGAAAACUUUAGGUGAGAACCAAAACCAUCAAGAACUUGCCUCGUUUGCCAGAGCUUCUUGGAGCUCUUCAACUUUAGCGUUUGCAGUCGCCAAAUCAUCAUUUACCUUCUCGAGCUCCUCGGCAGCCCCUACACCUGCGCGCUAAACAUCAAAUCAAAAGGAAAGAACAAUAAAACUCAAGGCUUCUAUUAAACGUGAGAAUGUUACUCGUUACCAGUAACGUGAUGCAACCACGCGAAAGAUCCUGUGGAAAGUUCUCUCUUGUCAACACGAAGGAAGAAAAGCUAUAGACGAGGAAAAGAAGAAGAGGAAUGGUGAAAGAAAUUCACACCUCAUCCGAGCGGAGAAAAUCAGCUACUAGUGUUAGCGCUGCAGCCCUGAAAUUCGCUACUCGCCUGGAAAAGAAGAAAGAAGAAGGAAGAAUGAGAUGGUGUAUAGAUAGUAGAUCGAUGAUCGAUCACUCACUCCUUCCCUAUCGGCGAGAAUGCGGCAUUCUCGAUCGCAUGCACCACUCGGAGGAGCUGAAAUAUUUUGGGAGAAGCAUCGACGCUGCCGGCCGCCAACGAUCCAUCGGCUUGUAGAUCGGAGAGGAGCGCCAGACCUGCCUGGUAGCGAUCGAUCGGCGCCUUCCCCGGAUCCAUGGCCGGUCAUGCUUCUCUCUAGAAGAACCCUAGGACUUCUAUAUGAAAUAUUUUGCGUAUUUGUUUCAUCACGGUAAGAUAUUGACAUAGCCCACAGCGAUCGCUACUGCGAGAAUCGCGAGCGGUGGGACGAGCACGAACAGCCCGAUCGUGGCAAACGUCCCAGAAUCAUCGCGCUGCGAGACUUUGUCUAGGUACUCCUGGCGCUUGAUGUUCCUCUGGACCGAGAUUUUGGGCUUCUUGUACCGCGAGUACACCAGUGGCACGGAGAAAUCCGAGCCCUCCUCGCUGUUGCCGUAGCGAUCGACGAGCUUGCUCGCGAUUGUAUUGCUGCUGCUGCUGCUGCUGCUGCCUGGAGAUCGAAUGAUAGAAAUAUCUGAGAUCGCGAAGAGGGAUGGAUCGAAAUAUUUCGGUAGCGUGGCUUACUCGAUUGCGUCAAGCGCUCCAAGCGCUCCAGCAUAGAUUGGGAAGAGGAAGAAGAGGAGCCUAGCAAAGAAAGAAUGAAAUUUUGGCCUGGAAGAAACAUCGCGACUUACUCGCUUUGUCCGAUCUUUCGACCUCCGCUCGACAUUUCCAGGAAUGCGUCGAGCAGUGGAGAAAUUUGCCUUCUCCUCUCCCAUUCCAAACACACGAAGGAGUGGAAACCCUAGAAAACAGAGCCAUGGAAGCAAACACUUGGCUAGCCCUUGCCUUCACACGAUUUGAUUCGCUCCUCAGUCGGUUUUUAACGGAGCUUACUUCGUUAGCUAAACAGAGCUACCGUACAUUCGUUACUUUAACCGAAGCAGCCGAGCUAGAGCUUUUGGCGAAGAAUCCAGCCAUGGAGAUGUACGGUGAUGGGCUCUUGGGAUCCAUUCUGGCAGCUGCUUGAGCCCCCAGUUUCUUGGAGUUUUGAUCCAAUUCACAAGCGCCGAGGAGACUUCCAAGAGACACAUCGUUUGGAGAAUGCGGCAUGGAAUUGAUCAAAUCUUUCGCGUUUUGGAGCUCUCCAGCUCGAGAGAGGAUGUCGAUCAUUGUGUUGAAGUGUUCUUUGCUUGGCUCCAAUCCAUGAUCGCGUUGCAUCAGCAUGAAACACUCCAAACCAGUGGCGAGCAUACCAAUCCGGCUGCAAGCAGUCAAGAUUGUCAUGAAAGUGACCUCGUCAGGAGCGAUGCCUUCUACUUGGAGCAUGAAAAAAUGCGCAAUGCCAUGAUUGAGAUGCCCGUUUUGGGCAUAUGCUGUGAUCAUAGUAUUCCAGGACACAGUGUCCAAAUGUUCCGGCAUCUCGCUAAACAUUUUCUUUGCAAAGGUGAGAUUCCCUACCUGUGAAUAUCCCGCGAUAGCAAUGUUCCACACCACAAUGUCCCGGAAAGGCAUUCUUUCAAACACCAAUCUUGCUUCCAGCAUAUACCCAUAUUGGGCAUAUGCCGAGAGCAUUGUCGUGUGGAUCAAUAUGUCAUGCCGAGGCAUUAGAUCAAAAACACGCUUCGCAUCUUCCAGAUACCCGUUGUGGGAAUAUCCAUUAAACAUUACUGCCCAGGCGACUACAUCUCUUUCAGGCAUGGAAUCAAACACGCUUCUGGCCUCUUCCAAAUGCCCCUUUUGUGAAAACGCCGCCACCAUUGUGGUGAGAGAAGCCAUAUCAAAUUCUGGAAUUCUCGAAUGGAAGAACUCUCUCGUGCGUUCCAAAUCUCCAAUUCUUGCAUAGAAAUGAAGAAGAACAUUCCAAGAUACUAUGUUCCGGCACGGCAUUCUCACAAAAACAUCUCUCACUUUCAAGAUAGACUCCGCCUGGGCAUACGAUGAAAGCAGUGAAUUCCAGCACAAGAGGCUAGCUUCUGGCAUCUCCUCGAACAAAUCUCCCGAUUUUUCCACGGGCAAAUACCAGCAAAAUCCCUGGAACAAAGUUUCCCAGGAAGAAUAAUCAUGCUGCGGCAUUAGAUCAAAAACUCGUAUUGCUUCCUUGAUAUGCCCUUCUUGGGCAUAUCCCGCGAGAAGAACAUACCAAGACACCAAGUUCUUCUCCGGGAUUAAAUCAAAGAGUUCCUUCGCUUCUUUCAAAUCGCCCUCUUGCGCGAGCGCCGCCACCAUCGCAGUCCACGAUAUCACAUCUCUCCCCGGCAUAGAAUCAAACACGGAGCGAGCUUGAGUGAUAUAUCCAUUGAGGGCAUAGGCCUGGAGCAGCGAAUUCCACGAGACGAUAUCUGGAAAUGGCAGUGAAUCGAAGAGCUUCUUUGAUUCAUCCACAUUUCCUUCACGCCCAAGAGCUGCAAUCAAAGAAUUCCAUGACACAACGUUCCAAUCAGGCAUUGCUUGGAAGAUCUCUCGAGCUUCCUGGACAAGCCCAGCAUCCGCGUAGGCCUGGAGCAUCGCAGUCCAGGAAACAAUGCUUCGAUCGGGCAUGAGAUCAAACAAUCUUCGAGCACCCGGCAAAUCGCCCUCCUUGGCAAUCGCGAUGAGCAUCACGGUCCAAGAGAUCACAUCCUUGGCCGGAAUUCGCUCAAAAAUCUCACGAGCAGCGUCGAUCUGCCCGGCAUCCGCGAGACCGCGCAAGAGCGUGUUCCAAGAAACUGCAUUGGGCCGCGCGAUUGUGUUGAACACUUCAGUUGCUUUGUCAACUUGCCCAUUCCGGGCAAAAGCUGCGAUCAUCGUGUUCUUCGCUUCGAUGGUCUUCACUGGCAUUUUCUCGUAAAGGGCAUUCGCUUGUAACGUCUCCCCAGCAGCACUAUAAGCCGCUAUGAUCGAAUUCCAUGAAACUGGUGUAUGAUGUUGCAUAGCAUUGAAAGUUUGUCUCGCUUCCAGCAGAUACCCAUUCGAGGCAAAAGCAUGAAUCAAGAUGUUCCAAGAGAAGGCGUUGGGCUGAUCGAUUGAUCGGAACACCGCGCGCGCAUCCUCGACGCAGCCACAUUUCCCAUACAUCUGGACCAUCAAGUUCGCAAGAUAGACGCUCCUUCGAUGCUUGCUCUUGAGAAUCCUGGCAUGGGUCUCGCGAGCAGCAACGAGAUCGCUGGUAUCGCCACAGUGCCGCAAGCACACUGCGAAUUCCUCCAUGAAUUGGUGAUCAUCGCGUGGGAGUUCUCGAGCGGAGGAGAUCAUGGUAUCAAAGUGGUCCAAGCAUUCUUGCCUAGAUCUUUUUGCCUAGCAAGCUCCCCAGCAAGAGAUAUGGAGAUGCCGAUCCAUUCAUUCCCAGCACCGAUCUCGCGGUCGAUCCGGCACGCGAUCCCCACAAGAUCUCGUCCCCUGCCACUGGCAUCGGCUCGAUCAGGCCCUCGGCAUCGCCCAAUCGGCCGGAUCGAUACAGCAUGUCCAUGACGCAGCUGUAGUGCUCCCACCACCAUCAAUUCGAAGAGCGCGCAGCACUGCUCCAGCUGCACGCCGCCAGGAUGCUCGUGAAGGCGAUCUGGUCGGGCAUCUCUCCCGCAAGCCAUCGAUUACGGCAGCGCAUUGGCCACAGUGGGCAUUGGGCACGAUAUUUGUGCUCCACGCCAGGACGUCCUUGCAAGGGAUGCAAUCGAAGGUGCAAUCAGCUCUAAUUGGGCAUUUUGGGCAUAGCCGCUGAUCAGGGGAGGAUCAUGUUGUGCUCGGGCAAAGGCAUCUUUUGCGCAAGAGAGAUCCCCAUUCUGGGCAUAUACCGUUAUGUUCCAGAAGUAGAUUCCUGUAAAAACCUUCAGGCCUGUGCCACCCAAGGAUCUAACUUGUUGUGAUUGGUCACUAGCCUGACAGCCUGACCCAAAAACUGCAGAAGUCUCACCCAGGGCUCCAUCUAAAUGCUGAUUCCCCACAUACCAAGAAAUAAUGCCCAAAACUCUCAGAGCACAGUGACUCAGCUCAAGGUGUUUGCAUGUGAUAUUGCAAGCCUCAAGUCAUCCCACUCUUAAACACACAAAAAAACUCCUAAACUCAGGAUACAAGUUCUAUCACAUUUUUAAAGAUCACUAUUAAACAUUGUUAAAUAUAAAAGCCCCAGGUGAGGCUUUACAAAGUCACAAACACUUCUCUUUUAUAUUACCAGCUUUUUCUUAAAUCCCAAACCUCUUGACUUGGAUUGCCAUAUUUUUCCUCUGCCAAAAUUGUCUUGUUUUUAAGAAGCACAAUCUUUUAUAUCUCCAUGAAUUCCUAUAUACUUGGAUCCAAAUUUCCUCAGGCAACAUACAUCUGCUUGAUCAUAUAUCUUUGAACCUUAUACAUGAGUUUUACAUGCUUUUUUUCUUCUUUUUUCUUCAAUUUUUGAAAAUGCAUUUUAAAAGUUAGAUAGAAAUUACCACCACAUGAGCUUCUUAAAGGAUGAAUGAAUAUUCCAAAUUUAUGGUGGUGUUGACAAUUACUUCUUUUGAUGAUAGUGUUUCUCUUGAUCCAUUGGAUUAUUAGUGUCUUGUUGAAGGUAUAUUUUCACAAAGAGAAAAAUAGAGUAAAAUGGUAUAUCCUUUGCUACCUCCAAUGAGAGAAUAACCUAUUUUGCACCAAAAACCAUCCCCACAAGCUAUAGUUAUUAAUGAUUAAUAACAAAAGAAGAAUUGUCAAAAAUUUUAAUUUUUUAUAUUUUCUUAUGUUUUUUCUAUUUUGCAAGUUAUCUUUUUAAGAAAUGGGCAAAUUAAAGGCUUGCUUACCAGAUGGUAUAACAAAGGAUGAUGAUUAGCUAUUAUUUAGGAUAAUUGAUUAUCUUUGUUAAAGAUAUUGCUUGAUUAUUAUUGAUAUUCAAUAAUUUAUCAUUCUUCAGGUUAGUGGAUUAUUCUUUGACAAUGAUUUUCAAUUUCUAUUGAUGAAAAUGAUUGAUGAUUUUGUGAUUCUUAGCUAUUUUCUUUGAGAGUUUUUGUUUUUCACAUUACCACAUAUUCUUUAUAGUUCACUUUGGAUUGAUUUAUUGAGUUUGAGAUAUUAGUAAAAUGUUGCUAUGCUUGUUUUGACAACUUUAGUUCUUUAAUAUUGUUAACUGAGAUUUAUUUAAAUUAAUUGGUGUGAUAAUUAGCAUAAAGGAGUGUUUAUUAGCUCUUGCAGCAUUUGGUUUUUGAGUUCUUAUACUCAUUAUUUCAUUUUUAGGAGUUGUUAGAGAAGGUAUUUUGGUUUCUUGCUUCUAAUGUUUGUAUUAGUUUUUGCAUUUAGUGAUCAUUAAUGAUGAUUGAUCAUUAUUUGGGAUAAUUGAUUAUCCUUGUUAAAAUCUUAUUUGAUUAUUAUUGAUGAUCAAUGAUUUUCGUUAUUGGGAUGGUUGAUUAUUCUUCAAUAAGGAUUUUUCAUCUCUAUUGAUGGGAGGAUUGACAACCUUUUGUAAGGGUUAGUUAUUAUAUUUGAUGGCUUUUAGAUUUUUGUAUUACUAUAUGCUUUUUGUGGUUUGUGUUGGAUUGGUUUUUUAGGUUUGAGAUAUUAGCAAAAUGUUGCUGAUGCUUGCUUAAGCAAUUAUAAAUCUUUAGUAUUGUUAAUUGGGAUAUAUUUUGAUUAGUGUGAUAGUUAACACAUAAAGAGUGUUUAUUAGCCCUUACAACAUUGAUUUAAAAUGUAUUGAUUAUUGUUAAAGGUUUUUUUGAUAAAUUGAGAUGUUAUUUCCUUUGGAUGAUACAUUUACAAACAUUUUUUUUGUUGGGAAAUAACACUUUAUGUCCUUAUUAUUGUCUUUUGUAAGUUAUUUUGUAUGCUCUCUUAGAUAUUUGGUAGUUCAAGCUUUAUCAUUAAGUUUAUUUAGUGAUAUGCUUGCUUUUAAAUUCUUUCAAGAUUGUUUAAUCUUAUGUCUUUAAAUUGUAAUGAUCUUGGUGGUUCUUAUACUAUUCUUGUUUACAAUAUGAUAACUUAAUUGGAAUAGUUUUGUAUCCUAAUCUAAUUUUAGUUCUUGAUAAACUGAUGUAAAUAUCUUUAUUUAUAACUUUAAUAUUGUUUAUCAUAUUGAUCUUGAUGUUUGGGUUAGUAUAAAAUAGAUUAGCUUUGGCACUUCAUGUGCAUUAUGAAAUUUUUAGUUAUGGGAUAACUACUAAUGACUAAUCACAUAACCUACCUUUCUCUCGAUGUUUCUAAUUUCAUUCUAAAGAUUGUGACUAUAUAAAUAACUCUAAUCACCUGUUUAUGUUAGUCUAUUUAAAACUUUACCGAUAGGUAUAGUUUGUCACUCAUAAGGGUUAGAGCUAUUGACUUCUCUCUAUAUGUCACAUGUAGGUAGAAGCAUAUCAUCUUUUAUAAGUUGAGUGACACCUAUAUUAGUCAUUUUUUUUAUUAGCGACAGCCUAUAGAUUUAACAUCUUUUGUGUAGAUAAAGAAAUCGUCCUNNNNNNNNNNNNNNNNNNNNNNNNNNNNNNNNNNNNNNNNNNNNNNNNNNNNNNNNNNNNNNNNNNNNNNNNNNNNNNNNNNNNNNNNNNNNNNNNNNNNNNNNNNNNNNNNNNNNNNNNNNNNNNNNNNNNNNNNNNNNNNNNNNNNNNNNNNNNNNNNNNNNNNNNNNNNNNNNNNNNNNNNNNNNNNNNNNNNNNNNNNNNNNNNNNNNNNNNNNNNNNNNNNNNNNNNNNNNNNNNNNNNNNNNNNNNNNNNNNNNNNNNNNNNNNNNNNNNNNNNNNNNNNNNNNNNNNNNNNNNNNNNNNNNNNNNNNNNNNNNNNNNNNNNNNNNNNNNNNNNNNNNNNNNNNNNNNNNNNNNNNNNNNNNNNNNNNNNNNNNNNNNNNNNNNNNNNNNNNNNNNNNNNNNNNNNNNNNNNNNNNNNNNNNNNNNNNNNNNNNNNNNNNNNNNNNNNNNNNNNNNNNNNNNNNNNNNNNNNNNNNNNNNNNNNNNNNNNNNNNNNNNNNNNNNNNNNNNNNNNNNNNNNNNNNNNNNNNNNNNNNNNNNNNNNNNNNNNNNNNNNNNNNNNNNNNNNNNNNNNNNNNNNNNNNNNNNNNNNNNNNNNNNNNNNNNNNNNNNNNNNNNNNNNNNNNNNNNNNNNNNNNNNNNNNNNNNNNNNNNNNNNNNNNNNNNNNNNNNNNNNNNNNNNNNNNNNNNNNNNNNNNNNNNNNNNNNNNNNNNNNNNNNNNNNNNNNNNNNNNNNNNNNNNNNNNNNNNNNNNNNNNNNNNNNNNNNNNNNNNNNNNNNNNNNNNNNNNNNNNNNNNNNNNNNNNNNNNNNNNNNNNNNNNNNNNNNNNNNNNNNNNNNNNNNNNNNNNNNNNNNNNNNNNNNNNNNNNNNNNNNNNNNNNNNNNNNNNNNNNNNNNNNNNNNNNNNNNNNNNNNNNNNNNNNNNNNNNNNNNNNNNNNNNNNNNNNNNNNNNNNNNNNNNNNNNNNNNNNNNNNNNNNNNNNNNNNNNNNNNNNNNNNNNNNNNNGAUAGAGUAUGGAAUAUCUAUAUUCUUACAUUAUACUAUCGAUAUCCUAAGAUAGCACUAGACUUUAUUUGCUCUGUUUUGUGUGUUAGUUUUGGCAUUCACAUGUUAGAAGAUUUAGAAUUAUUUCAAUAAUGCUCUAUGUUUCAGGUCCUUCACUCUAUAGCUUUAUACUUAGGAGUUCGGCUCUAUUUUUUUAUUUAGUGGUUUAAAAUUCUAAGCUUUAGGUUUUGCUCCAUUGCCUUUGGCACAUGUAUCCAAAGGUUAGGUUUACUUUGUGGUUACCUUAUGGUAAUUCAUUAUAGGGUAUAGAGCAAAAAGCAAUGCACUAUACUUAGUAUGUAUUAAAUUCAUAAAAUUCAAUUUAGAGACUCUAAGCCUAAAUCCAUCUCUAGUUUAGAAAAAGAAAAGAUGCUUAUGUCAAAAACUAGAUAGAAGAGAUAGUUAUAAUAUCAUUUUAGGUCUUUUUUUCUUCUAUUUUCUUUUAUUUUGUUAUAGAAAAAUCUUGAUAUUUGAUGAAUUCAAUGUUCAAAUUCAAUCUAGCACUAUUAGGAUUUGACAAUAACUCUCAAGCUGCCACAAUCUCUAGAUAAUAUACAAAACUUUCUUAGAGAGAAUGGUGGGGAUGGAGAAAAAUUAACUUGUUUAAUCCUACUAAGAAUUCACAUGACACUCCUUCAUAGAUUAUAAAAAUUGGGAAUUGUGAUGGUUGAGAUAAAGAGGGUGGUAGUGGCAAUGUGUAAUUUUAGAUAUCAAAAAUUAUUUUUCAACAAAUCCUUUUGGAUAUUCUUCUUUUAUCACUAUGAUGGUAGAAAAUUAAUAUCAUUAAUUCCUUUUAUCAAUUUCUGCCCAAGUUAAUUGAGAAAGUGGUCUUCACAUAUGUAGAAGAGCAUAAAAAUAGAAUUCCUUAUUAGUCAAGUAUAUUUGACCUAGUUAGAGAAACUCAUAUUAAAUAGCACUUGCUAGUCUUGGGAACCCUUGCAAUAUUCAAUUUAAUCACUUAAUAUUUAUUAUAUAAUAACUUACUAUAUCCAAUAAAUACUCUCACUAGCAUUUCCCAUGUGUUAGUCUUAUAUUAGUCUUAUUAGCUAUUUAUAAAAAAUGUCUAGAUUUGCUAGUUAAGUAUAUCUAUAAAAUAUAUAAUUAUCAUAAACAUAAUGGUGUUGCUCAUAUAUCCAAAUUCACAAACUAGUGUCAUUGUAGGGAUAAUGAGUAGAUCAUCAAUUUAAGAUAUUGUUUGGCUCUUUAUUAGGUGUGUCUGCCUUUAUUCUAUAUCUGACUUGGGUCUAAGCCCAAGCUUCAUAUCAUGUUAGUUAGUGAAGUACCCAUAUCCUUUUGGUAAACUAAAAAAUAUAUGAAAAUAAUGUUAAACUUCAUUUAACUAUAUGUUAUAUAUUAGUUUUAGUGUAGGGAUAUUGGAUGAUUUAAGAUUAUUCUAAUGUUAUUUUGUGUAUAUAUUCUUUCACUCCUCGAUUAUGUUUGGGAGUUCGGCUCAAGGCCCUAAAACUUAAAUCCCACUUUGUUGUCCUUAGCACAUAUGUCAAAACUCUAUGGCUACCUUAUGCUAAUUCACUAUAGGGUAUAAGGUCAAAACCUCAUAUACUACAUAAUGGUUAAUAGAUAAAAAGAUCUAACCACCUAUAAUUAAUGUUACAAAAGGUUUGACAGUCAACCUUCUUAUGUGAUAUGUAAUGACUAGGGCUGGAAAUUUAAAAUUCUAACAGCUUGCAAGCUAGAGAAGAAACAUCAGCUCAUCCAUAGAAAAGAGUAGAUCAUGCUAGAAGUUCCUAGAAAAUAACUCAUUCAUAUACAAGAGUUGAUGAUCCUUGAUGAUCUAGAGCUCUUCCAAGACCUCAAACCCACCUAGUUAGCUUAUAUUACAAGUUGGGAGUGCCAUAUCUAGCUUAUAACUAAAACUUAUUUUACAAAUUUUAUUGAUUACAAAUGAGUUAGAGAAACUUUAGGAGCAAAAAAUGUCAUUAGAUUUAAAUAAUAUCCUAGAAUAUAUAUAUAGUAAAUAUAAGCUUCAUACCUUUGAAAACUCUUAUAUACAUAAUCAUAGUCACAUAAAUAGUGUUCUUAUUACUUUGGAUAAAUUGGAGUCUAUGUAUAAGACUAAGAUAUGCUAGGAUUUAUAAGCUCUGAUCAGAAUAUACCAUAAGCAUAUUUUAAACAGCUAUGUAUUUUCCAUGGUAUGAUUGACUUUGCCAUCUUAAUUUAUUCACAUUGUGUGGCAUCCUGUAGCAAAAGAGUUAAAAGAUCAUAAUAAAAAGUAUCAAGCUUCAUAUUAAAAGCAAAGGUUGAUUGACCCUUGAUUAGUAUACUGUAAUAAAUGAACAAUAUCUACAUUAUAUCUCAUUAUGUAUCAUAAAUUUCAUGUUUAAAAUAUAUUAAAUUAAAUUUAAUGUAUCUAGCUAGGAAAAAUAAUCCUAAAGUAAGGAGAUAAUUAUAUCUUAUUUACCAUACAUAGUCUUCAUAAUUGAAAUUAAGAGGUCAAGUUCAAAUUAGCAGUGAUGUAUCAAUUUUCAGUAAUAUAAUGCUCAAAUAAACAUAAUUUUCCUAGUCUGCUUAUACUUGAUAAUGCCUUUUAUGUCCUAAAAAUAAAUAUAGAAAAGUUAAAUAUAUAAACUUGUAAAGUUAAUUUAACUUUAUUUCUGAUUUCACAAUAAAAAAAUAAAAUAAAUAAAAGUGACUGAAAAAUUUUAGUAAAUAAAUUUAUUUAUAUAUUUUAUAUUUAAAAUCUAAUAAAGUUUUUGCCAUGAUUUCUUGUAAUGGUAGUCAAUAUUUACUAUCAUUUUUCUAUAUUAUAUUUUUGUUUAUGAAUUUACCUUUUGUUGUUUCUCCAAGGAAAGGAGCAACUUUUGGAAGGCUUGGAGUUUUAAAAACACAUGAUAUUACUAAAAUUGUUGGGGCAAUUACAAAUUAUUUAUCUACAUUUGACGAUAAAGAAAAAUACUCAAGAAUUUUAACCAAUAAUAUAGAAGUACUAACUUCUACAGGAUAUGUUGAUAUAUUAUUAAAAACAAAAUAUCAAUGUAGUACAUCAUCUACUCCCAAAACUAUAGUUGGUGGAAAUUUAAAAAGAGGCUUUGAAAGUAUUAUAUAUGGUAGUAUGACUGCUUUAAUCCAAAAUUUAUCUGACUUUUUUGAAAAAGAAACACUUUCUUACUAUGUGCAAUAUAAGCUAAGAGGUAGCAGUCAUGAUGAUCUUUUAUUUAUACAUAUAAAUAAUAUUCAAAAUAUUAUUUAUUGUAAUCUUAGAAGUAGUACUUUAUUUUCAGAGUUUAAAUUAUUUUCAGGUAACUUUUUAAUCUCUCAAAAUGGUAAAAUUUUCUUAAUAUUAGAAUCUUCAUGUAGCCUUAUAUUAUAUUAUGAAAAGUCUAUAAUUUGGAAAGUAGAACGAUUUUCUUUUAAUUGUUAUUUACUUUUACAACUUGAUGGCAAUUUAGUUUUAUAUAAUAAUAAUAAAAUGGCUAUCUGGGCUACUAAUAGUAAUUGUAAAUUUAGUUAUUGCAAUUUACCAUCAAUUUUUACUGUUCAAAAUAAUUGUAAUCUAAUACUUUAUUCUGCAAAAUUUCCUAAUGAUAUCUUAUGGACGUCAAAAACAUCAUGCAAGAUAUGAAUGAAAUUUCAAUUUUAUAAAACUAGAUUUUAAAUAAAUAUAUACAAGUUUUGACAAAUUUCAUGUGUGUGUCUAUAUAUAUGUAUGUAUGUAUGUAUCUAUAUAUAAUAAAAUAGGUUUAGCUUGAAAAAAUAGUUGUGAAAACUGAUUUAGUUAGAAAAUAGAGCUGCUAUAUAUAUAUUCUAUAUGAAAACUUCUAUAUAACUAUAGUAUAUACAUUAUUUAGUUAGACCAAUUUACAUCUAAGCUUAUUUUUAUAUAUAAGUUUUUAUUUAUCUUUUAGUGUGAGUUUGACCAUCUAAUGAGCAUUUUAAGUGUUUAAUUCCUUCUAUCUAAAAAAAUAUAAGAGGUUUAUGAGUUUUCAACACUAAAAACACUACAGUAUAAAGGUAAUGCCUCCAUAUUCAUAAAGUUUGAAUAAUCAAAACCUGUAGCACAUAUGGUUUUCACUGUUCAAGUUAUGAUUUACCAUAAGAUAAUCAUGAAUACCUAAAAUGAAUUGCUGAUAGGUGACUUUCAAUACUGCAGUCAUAUUUGCAAUAGAUAUACCAUCAAUAUGAAACAUAAAAGUAUUGAUUAAUAAAAUUUUCAAUGCAACUAAACUGUUCUCAUAUGCCUUUUUCCACUCAAAUGGCACAUUCUUAUACAAUAACUAUAUAUAAGCCACCUCUACAAACUUGCACUAAAAAUAUAACACAUAAAAAAUCAUUUGUAGGAUCCUUUAAAAAUCCCACUUAUAAAGUUGGAUUUCCUAAACACCUAAAUUUGGAGCCAAUGAAACAAGGGUCUAAUAUGCAAUCAAAUGCAAACAAGUUCCCCAUAUUCAGCUAAUGCACACAAAAUAAUGGUAGACAGAAUUUAACACAAUUUAAGCAUAUUGGUGGCCUAAUGCCACUUACUAUCAUAGUAUAGAGCUUGAGAUCUAAGCCAAAUAUAGAACAAAGAGUUAUAUAACCUGCUAGAAGAGAAAUUAAUGUUUUAGGUGGUCAACCAUACUUUUGACCACUAUUAUACAUUUGGAAAACCUCUAUGCUUGUAUAAAAGUUCACCCAAUAUUAGGAAAUAAUCUUUGGGAUAAAAUUGAAAACUUACUAAAUAUAGAAUAAUACUAAAUUGAGAAUCUAGAUAUAGUGUUCAAAACAUUCUCUACCUCAUUGAUAAAUAUAUAUACUUCUUAUAAAUAACAUAUAAGACCAAGUGUCAUAUGUUAGGGCAUGAUAACAAAGAUGUUUGGUGGACAUGAUAAGUUAUCAUGUAAUGAUAUUAAGGGACUAGGCUCAAUAUCAUGGGAGUUGAUGCUAACAAGUGGAAGCAAAGGACAUAAAUUCCUUAUAUUGGGCUAAGUAUGCUCAACAAGAAACAUAUAAGAGUUUCUACUUUAUGUUUAUCUAAUCUAAAUAAACAUACAUUGACUAGUUUUUUAACUAGCUCAAAUGGGAAUUAUUAGGAGAUACAAAAAUAUCAAUCUCUUGCUAUCAUAGUAAUAAGGAAAGUCCAAAAAGAUUGGCUGAUAAAUAUCUUGCAAAAUCAUUGUUGAAGAAUAAUCCACCAACUUGACGAAUGAUGAAUUAUCAAACAUCAAUAAUAAUUAAGCAAGAUCUUUAUUAAGGAUAAUCAACUAUCCAAGAUAACAAUCAAUCAUCACUAAUAAUUGCUAGGUGCAAAAACCAACUUGAGCAUCAAAACCAAUGAGUCUUGACAACUUCUAAUAAUAAAACAAUAAGUAUAAAAAUUAAAAAAACCAAAAUCUUAUAAAAGUCUAUUGCCAAGUUUUAUAGAAUAACAGUGACAAGUCUUACAUUGACUAUUGACAAUGCCCAAAAAGAAAUUAUAGUACAACCCUAUAAUAUCCUGUUUAACACAUCUAUAAACUAAAACUUUAUAAUGCACAAGCUAAUGAAGAGAAUAACUGCAUCAAUUCAAAAGCCAAGCCUAACAAAGUUAUGUUCAGGAAGUGAUCACCAAACCAAUCCUCCAUAAAUCCAUAUUCUAUAUCAAAAUGUAACUCAAGUUAUAAUAAAUAUAAGAAGAAGCAUUAAUGAUUGUUAUUCUUAAACUCAACCAACAAGGAUUUAAUAACUCUAAUAUCAAUCACUAACUCUUCAUUUUGCAAAGUUAACAUAGUCCAUACUAAAUUACUUUCAAAGAAAAGCCAAAACUCAACCACUAAACAAUUUUGUUUAAAAUAUAGAUACCCUAAUUUGCCACUCAUCUUAUUUAAACCCUAAUAUAGUUGUUAACACACGAAUGCUAAUAACAUAAAGGUAUAACCAAAUUAUCAAUACCAUUUUCACCAAGAUUAGCAAAAUAAAAUGUCAAUCUCCAAUAAAGCUAUAACUAAUAACUAAGCAUUUGAUUCACUACAGAUGGAAAAUUUGACAUGCCUAUAGAGAAAACAUCCUAUCUCAUUCUAAUCUUAACUUCAAUAAUGUCAACAUUAAAGCAUAAUUUCAAUGCCGUUAAGACUAAAACAAAGCUAGAAGAAGGUAAGAGUGAAUCAUCACUUAAAUCUCUUUAACAACCAAGGUUAACCAAGGUUAAAGAUACUAUACUUAGUAUUUGAGGCCAAUCUGUCAAGAAUACUUAGUUAUAGAUAAUAUAUCAUUAAGGAGUGAAUCAUCAUGUAUAAGACUCAAUACAAUUUAAAAUCAUGAACUAAACUUAACUAGAUAAUAUUAACAUAGGUGGAUCAAUAAUCCCACCAACACAUCUAGCUAUAACUUUGAGCAUGACUGAAGAAGUUAACUACAAAUGAUUAACACUCAAUUGAAACUAAAAUGAUAACUAUAAGAUGGGCUUAUAUAUAUACAUAACCUCCUAAUAAACAAGGUUACAAUAUAGGUACUAACACUAUAACUACAAAACAACUAAGCUAGAUAUCACUAUCUUCAACCAAUUAUAAGUAACUAAAGAGAACAAUUUGAAAGACAAUUUAUAAAGGUUCAAAUAUAAAAGAAAAGGGAAUACACCCCAUUUUCUAAUUAAUUAACAAUUUUAGGAUGUUUAGGGUUAAGCAUCAUUGGAUUUGGGUAUUAUACUGGAUGACAUCUCAAGAAGUCCAAAUUGAGGAAAUAGUAUUAAAAGGGUAUUGAGUCUAAGUUUAUUGGUUGGUUAGGGGAAUCACACUAUAUGUUAAGAUUGACAGUUGGUAGUUUAAUUUGCUUUAGUUAAGCUCAACCCAAGAGAUAGGGUGUCAAUAGGCAUUUAGUAAUCCAAUUUACUUUAGCUAGGCUCAACCUAAGGGGUAGGGUGUUAAGAGAGUGAAGCUCUUAAAUUUUGUUCACUUGUAAGGAAAUAUAGUAAAUUGUAAGCAAUUGAUCUUUUUGAUUGGGAUAAAAGAGAAUGACUCAAAAGACAAUUUAUAAAGGUUUAAAUAUAGAGUGCACCCCAUUUUCUAAUUUAUUAAGGGUGUUGGGAUACUUGGAAUUAAGUGUUUUUAGGUUUGAAUAAUACUUACUAAGAUAUUUAUUACUUGGAGUUAAUGCUUACAAGUGUAUGGCUACCAAGACCAAGUCAAAAUCAAUAAAAGCUCACUACUCCCAUAGAGUUUAACUCAAAUGCAAGGUGUAACCUGCCACUAAAUAUAACACUAUCUAAAAAAGGCAUAAUUCAUAACCUAAGUUUUAUUCAUUGAUAAUUUGGUCUCUAAAAUAUCUUUGUCUAUGACUUUGAUAUCAUCCAUCUAAUUAAUCUAAUCUAAGGGUGUGAAAGCUAAUUGCCUAUUUACAAUAGUCUAUUUAAACCUUACUGAUGGGUUUGGUUUAUUUACUUAUGAGGGUUGAGGUCAUUAGCAUCUCUCUCUAUAUCACAUACAGGUAAGGGCAUAUCAUCUUUUAUAAACUUAGUGACUCCCAAAGCAGUAAGGAUGGCUAAUUUUAUUAGUUAUUUCCUUGUUGAUGACAACUGGAAGGUGUAUAAGUGUUAAUAUGUUUUGUGUAGACAAGUGACUAAAUUUUCCAUUCUACUUUAACCAUUUAAUUAUAUCUUUGACCACUUGGAGGAGUUUCACUCACGAACUCUAUAAGUUUUAUUCCUAACUUGGGAACAUGCUAAGUGGUCAUCCCUUGACCACACCAUAGCACCCUUAAGAUGCCCAGAGACAUAAGAAACACUCAAUGUUUUUGCUUUAAUCCCCAUCAUGUCCCUAUUCAUCCAUAGUUGUGCUUGCUAACACCGCCACUAGGUUAAGGCCUAAAGGCCUGACCACUAAAUCCCAUUGACCUCUGGGACUUCCUCACCAUAUGACUAUAUCCUUAAUCAUUACACCAAAGGAUUGUUCUUCUUCUUUUCUAGAGUUUGGGACUUUAGGAUAAUAUUUCAAAACACCAUAGCCAUAUGUGAGCCUCGUGAGUACUCUCCCCACUUUCUGCCCUUAGGUGCCUUAGCCAUGUGGCUAGAGCAAGGUUCUAAUGAGCCACACCAAGGUUAGAAUUCCACUUCAAUCACUACCAUAUGGCACCCUUUUGAUUCCACUUUAGGGCUUAGGGAUUUGUGUCUCACAACUCUGACACCCAUAAACGAAAUUCGAUGUCCUCAUCAAAUGAUAAAUCAUUUUAUAAAGUAACACUAUCAUAUAUUACCCUUUCCAUCCUUAACACCAAGCUAAUAUUUAUCGAUGGUUCAACACCGAAAGAUCACCAUGCUUUGCCCAUCCUCUAAGGAGCAUAAUUUCUCUAACUUAAAGACUCAUUCGACCACUUGUGGUGGUUCUCUCCCUUUAUUAGUUUAGUUUUCAUUAAACUUAUUAGAGACACCUUCUCUAUUUCAAUCUCAUUACUCAUUUCUGAGUAGUCUCAGCUUCUAUUAACAUAUCCAUUGCAUUUUGGAACUUUUAAUUUUGACUUCUUGAAGUUAAUUUCUUGGGUGUCUCCAACACCUUGCAUUACAUAUGUUGUGGAAAUUCCACUUCUCUAUCCUUGGAAGCUUUUUACUUGAGGGCACCAUCAUCCUCUCUUUUAUUUCAUGCUACUCUAGACACUAAGUGCUAUUUAUCCAUAAUUUGUGCUAAGGUUGUCUAUAACUCUAUCAUUUGGCUACUUUGCUACUCCAUCUCUUGGAACUUUAUUCUUCACCACAUUAGAGUGUUAGAGAAAUUCAUCCUUGGAAACCUGUUUCCUUUCCCACAAUCUAUUAGUAUCCACCACUUAAUAGUUCCUUUUCUAACUUGUCAUUUAAAUUCCUUCCAAUGAUUUCUAUGAUUCAUUCUUGGCCAUUAGUUUUUUGCUCCUAUCCUUUGAUUGUUGUAUAUACCUUUCUGAUGUGCUCUUUUGGAUAUUUUAUUAUCCAUCCACUACCUUGGAAUGUAAACAUAUCCUCUAAUGGGAAAGGCAAGUAUUCAUUAUAUACCUCUGCUUCAACUUGUAGUACUAUCAUUUUUGCACACAAUUCUCCUAGUUCAACAUAGUAUACUUUACACAUUGGGUCCAGAUUCUCUAUCAUUGCUCAACCUACUUCUCUUCCAGUCUCUAUAAAAAGUGAGACAAUGAUAAUGAGGUUACUUCUUUGAUAGUUUUAUACAACUUUUCAACUUUAACUUAUAUUUCUUACCAGUUGCUUAUAUAAAAAACAUGUCUCCAACUUCUAGACACCACUCUAUCAUCAAGGUUUCCACUGUAAGAAAAAUGAAUUUUAUAAAAACCUUUGCAUACCUUAGAAUUCACUAGUUGAUGCUACACUUUUUUUAUGCCACACCCAUCACUGGUUUAAUUUGUGCACGUUGGAAAUGUGAAGUAUAAUUAUAGUGAUGAAAAAUAUAGAAAGUUUAUAAAGAUCUACUUACAACAUCAUUGAUGUUUUCACAACUAUGGUGUUCCAUAAAUUCUCCUUUGGAUCCAUAUCCAAUGAACUCCUAUAGAAAAAACUCAUAUUUCACAUCAAACUAUACCAAUGACAUAAGAAAGAUAUAUGCCUUUGUAGUUGCAUUUUUAUUAUGAACAUUCAUCAAAUUGGUAAUAGGUAUUGGUUGUAAGAUAAGAAAAAUAUCAAUAGGUAAUUGAGAACGUAAAAGCUUACAAUAGUUGAGGUGGUUAGGUUUUCAAACUUAGAGGGUAAGUGUGAGAUUUAGAUAUGUCAUUGAAGUCAUUACUUUGUCAUCUUAUCCCAAUGCUUCAACAUCUGCAAACACUGAAUCUAAGGAACAUCAAGUUAUAUACUCUAGCCAAGAUAUUAUUGUGAGACACAAAUCCCUAAACCCCAAAAUAGAACUGAAAGUGUGCCAUAUGACAAUGAUCGAAGCGGAAGUCUAACAAGUGUAACAUAUUUAGACUAAAAGCUCCAACUCGGAAAGUCGAGAAUGGGAAUGGAACUCCAAAUAAAAUGCUCAAGGAAUAAGCACGAAGUGAUCAAUGAAUAAGUCUCUAAAAAGGGAUAUAAGAGGGACUAAUAUAUGGCAAGUGUCAUGACACAUGGAAGUGUAAGGACUAAGUCUGAGAAGGAGUCCGAGAAGGAAUCUAAGAUGGAGUCCAAGAUGGAGUCCGAGAAGGAGUCCGAGAAGGAGGCCGAGAUGGAGUCCGAGAUGAAGUCUAAAAUGGAGUUUAAGAAGGAGUCUGAGAUGGAGUUUGAGAUGGAAUCCAAGAAGGAGUCUAAGAUAAAGUUUGAGAAGGAGUUCAAGAUGGAAUCCAAAAAGGAGUCCAAGAUGGAGCUUAAGAUCGAGUUCGAGAUGGAGUCCAAGAAGGAAUGCGAGAUGGAAUUCGAGAUGGAGCCUAAGAUCGAAUCCGAGAUGGAGACUGAGAUCGAGACCAAGACCGAGAUAGAGACUGAGUCCAAGUCUGAGUCCAAAUACUAAUGAUGGUGAAAGCCCAAAAAGAUUAUCCCUUGGAAGGUUGCGAAGGGUUCCAAAAGUAUAGUAAAGAAAGUGUGGGGGUUGGACUCGAGUGGAAUUAGUUUAACUAGAAAAGGCUAAUGUGACCUAGUAUGACUUAGGAAGGCUACACCUACAUAGUGGGUGAUGAUAUAACCACUAAAGAGUCCAAGGCUAAAGUGAAUAUAAAUAAACAAGUAGGGUAGUUUGGUGAAGUGUUCAAGAGUCGACUAUAACUCCCCUAAGAGAUCAAAUGGUCGAUACUCCCAAUCCAAGUAUGGGUGGCACUAUCUAUUUGGAUAUUUAGUAUGGCUCAUCAGAACUUCACUCUAGCCAUAUGGCUAGAGCAUCCAAAAGCAAAAGGUGGGGGUAGUACCCAUGAGGCAUAUGUUGGGCCACAGUGUUUCAAAAUGGCUAGGGCAUCUAGAAGCAGAAGGUGGGGGAAUACCCACAAGGCUUGGGCUAGGCUACAGUGUUUCAAAAUAUCAUUCCAAAGUCCCAAAUUAUAGAAAGGAAAAAGAACAAUCCUUUUGUGUAGAGACUAAGGAUAAAGUCACAUAGUGAGGAAGUUCUAGAGGUUAAUGGAACUUAGUGGUCGAGCCUUUGGUGUAAGCUCUUAAAUUUGGAUUUCCUAGAAUAUCAUUUAACUCAAUACUAUUCAAACUUAAAAAUGUUCAACCUCAAAUAUCCCAAAACUUUUAAUCAAUUGGAAAAGAGGGUGCAUUUUUGUUCAUGAGUCCUUUCCCUUUAUAUUUAAACCCUUAUAGACUAUCUCUCGAGUCAUUCUUUAUGGUUGUUUAUAAUCCACUAUGUUUCCCUACAAGUUCACACCUUCAUGAACAAGAGAUGAGAAUCACAACCCUCCUAAGAGCUCUGCUCUUUUGACACCUUACCUUUCAAGUCAAGCCUAACUAGAGGCAAAUUAAACUUGCUAGAUGUCAAUUUCAAUAUAUGGUGUGAUUCCCUUAGCCAACUAAUAAAGUUAAACCCAAGAUAUCUUUAAUACCAAAUGUAAACUCUUGAGUUUGGACUUCUUUGGAGGUCACCCAAUCUAAUACUAUUCAAACCCAAGGAUAUUUAACCCUAAGUAUCCCAGGACCUUUAACCAAUUAGAAAAAAGGGUGCACUCUUAUUUAUGGGCUCUUUCCCUCUAUAUUUAAACUCUUAUGGACUAUUUUUCAAGUUAUUUUUUGUAAUUACUUAUAUUUAGGCUUUAAUCCAAUGGUAGUAUUAGUGAGCACAACCAUGGAUGGAAAGGCAUUUAAUAAGGAUUAAAGAAGGGAUAUUAGGGAAAGAUUUCUCCUAUGUCUCUAGGCAUCCUAAAGAUGCUAAUGUGUGGUUCUAAGAUAACCACUCAUGGACAGAUAGCAGUCUUUAAGAGACUGGACUAUGGCACGAGUGGUCUUAAACUACCGAUGAGACAAAGGCAAAUGGACAUAAUCUUAAUAUAAUGCUAAUAUGUUAGUGGUACCUUUAGGGUGUAUAUCAUAAGAUUGGACAUAUGGAGCAUUUAAAAGUGCAAAGGCUAAGUGGCAUAAAUGCGCUAACAUAUCCCUAAAUUGGGAAUAAAACUUAUGAGGUUGUGAGUGAGACUUCUCCAAGCGGUCAAAGAUGUGGUUAAGUGAUUAAAAUAGAAUGGAAAAUUUUGUCAUUUAUAAUUGUAUCCUAUGUUAAAAGAAAAUAAUAAUUAAUCUCAGCAAAACUUUCAUAAGAAACUAUUGACAACCAUUACCUUAGUCAUUAACGCAUCAACUGGUCUACUCCUAUUAGGAACAAGAGUAUUUUAAUGAGGAUUUUAAACUAGGAUUUAUUCAUUUUCCAAGUGAUAAAUUCUGUCAAACAUUUGAAGUUAAGCAUCGCUCUUUCCAAGGGGUGGAAGCUUGUGAAAUGCUACAUCAAAGGUAAGCUCUUUCCAAUUUUUUCUUCUAGGUCAAGCUUACUUCUAAAAACUAAAAAUUUCCAUCAUGAAAUAUGGGCCUUCUAUUGGACAGUUUAUGUACUAUCUAGAUCAUGUAUUUAAAAAAAUUUGAACCCCUUCUUUAUGUACAAUUUGACUGUUUAUUGUAUAAAAUUUUAAUUAAAUCAAAGCUCUCAAGAAUGUACCUGAAUAUUCUAGGAUAUUUUAUGAUCUUUACAUUUAGAUUAAUAUUAAUUAUAAACAUGUCUAUAAUUUAUAAACUUUUAUAAACACCAAGUAAAUUUGGUCUAUUACAUUUAGUCUCUUUUCCUAAAAUGAGUUAGUUUUGCAUUAUUUUAUGGCAAUACCUUUAUGCUAUAGAUUUCAUUUAUUCACCCUGCCAUGUAGACCCCUACAAGUAAUCUUGGUGAACCAUGGAUGUAAGAUAAUGAUGUUUGGCUAUUAGGUGCUAGCUUUGACCAUGUGGUCAACAAGCACUUUAGAGGUUUAUAGUGGUAAUAAGAAAGUUUUUUUUCAUAGGCAUGGUAAGGAACCUCAAAAAGAACUGUAGUAGCUUAGGCAAUUAUCUUUGUUGUUUAAUACUAUGUCAUAAUAUUAGUAUCAUUGUGAUAGCUGACUAAUGAACAUUGGAAUCUUAAAGUUGAUGGUGGUGCCAACAAGUGCUGAUGGAGGUUGUGAGGUUUGGACUAUCAACAAUAUCAUUUAUGAGCUGUGAGCCCUUAAUAAAAAUUAAUAAGAGAUAUCUGAUUGUUAAGUAUGAUGUUUGAAUAUGUUGAGGCAUUCAAUGAUAGUGCUCCAAGAAAAGUAGAUUAACUCAAGAUUUUAAACAUUUCUAGUGAUAAUGGAGUGAUGAGUGUUUGGCAUGGUUAGCCAAUGUGAAGAAGUCUUUAGCUACCAAAGAAAUUUUAGUGGUUAUUCUAAUGGUUUUGCAUGAUAUAUAUCUUCAAUGGUGGAAUUAGCUUGAUAAGUUUUAUGUUGUAAAUAAAAAACCACUAGUGUCUACAAUAGAUGAGUUCAAGGCUUUUUUUUUUUUUUGUUUAUGUUUAGCCUCUCACUAUACAUGGAGAAUGCUUGCACAAAACUUUAAAACUUCUAUUGAUUGACACUUGGAGACUACAUUAAAAAGUUGAAUUUCUUGAUUAGUUAUGUUCUAAUCAAAUAUCUAAAUUAAAACAAAUCCUACUUCAUUAAUGGCCUUCAAAAUGAGAGUAUGAAUUAACAUUUACAUCAUUUCAUCAUAUAAAUGGAAGAGCUCUUUGAUAUCACUUAAAAAUGACUUAUAUGCUUGUUAACUCAACUAUGUGUUGAGUAAAACAUAAGCUAAUAACACUUAUAUAUCAAUUUUAUGUUGGAGGGUUUGUUCCAUGACAGUCUAAUAUGAAUUUUAUUGGACAAUGAGAGUAAUAACAAUUUCUUUUCCUUUUUUUUUAUAAAGUUUGUUGAGGAGAACAACCUGGUGACAUAAGGAGUUCUUUUUACAUAAUAAAAGGUGUAGCUACCUUUAAAUAUUAUUUUAGUGCUUGUAUAGAUAGUUAAAAAUAUUGGUUGAUAACAUCAUACUUGUGGAAACUUUUUAUCUUACAAAAUCUAUUGUAUGGAUUAUAUUUUAUGAUUGAUGGAGAUAAAAUAAAGCAUUAAGCAUGUUUCAUUAAAGUAUGGUAGUGUUAAGGAUGUGUGGUAUAAAAAGGAAGUUCAAUUGUUAUGAUUUUUAUUUAUAUCUUUGAAAUGGAUUUAUUAUAAUGGAAAGGCAAUUUUAAGUUAUUUAUUGUUUAUUCAUGACUUAAAGACCAAGACACAUGUGAAAGGAGGCAAUAAUGUGGGAUGUGCUUGAGAAGUUUGUUAAUGUCUUUCCAUUUAAACUUUCUCAUGGGUUACUUCUAAUCCAAGGUAUAGAGUAUAAUAUUAUGCUAACAAUGACAUUUUAUUAGCAAACUAAGCUAUGUGGAGGAAUAAGAAAUUUAAUGACAAAAGAAGUUACUUGAUUUUAGAUUUAGUCAACCAAGUCUAUAUGGCACACCAGUCUUGCUUGUGAAAAAGAAUGAUAGCUCAAUUAAUAUUGAUGUGUAUUGAUCAUGCAUUAAACAAGAAAAUGACAAAGGAUAAAUUGAGCAAUGGAUAUUAUUAGAUUGCAAUAUAUGAUUUAUUUAUCUUCAAUAUAGUAUUCAACACAAGUUUCAAAUAUUUUGAAUUACAAUUAUGCUAUUCAGAUUGACAAUUACACCAACAAUGUUUACUCGGUUGGUGAGUGUUACUUAUACAAGUUUUUAGAGAUUCUUUUUGAUGAUAUUUUUGUUUUUAGAAAGAAUAUAGAAAAACAUCCAAAUGUUUGUCUUGCCUCCAGCAGAUACCCAUUCGAGGCAAAUGUACGAAUCAAGAUGUUCCAUGAGAAGGCGUUGGGCUGAUCACUCGAUCGGAAGACCGUGCGCUCACACUUUCCAUACAUCUGGAUCAUCAGAUUCGCGAGAUAGACUCUCCUUCAAUGCUCGCUCUUGAAGAUCCUGGCAUGGGUCUUGCGAGCAGCGGCGAGAUCGCGAGUAUAGCCACAGCGCCGCAAGCGCACUGCGAACUCCUCCAUGGAUUGAUCAUCACGUGGGAGCUCUCG